RNAcentral lists this long non-coding RNA (56142 nucleotides) under Gossypium barbadense (sea-island cotton). RNAcentral's name for it is "long non-coding RNA (GBAR_LNC014012)". The record is from RNAcentral. Lineage: Eukaryota; Viridiplantae; Streptophyta; Magnoliopsida; Malvales; Malvaceae.
GUGGUGAUGGUGGUGGAGGUGGUGGGGACUUGUACUUGUAAGGGUGCUUGGGUGGUGAUGGUGGUGGAGGUGGUGGAGACUUGUACUUGUAAGGGUGCUUGGGUGGUGAUGGUGGUGGAGGUGGUGGAGACUUAUACUUGUAAACUGGAGAUGGUGGGGGUGGAGACUUGUACUUGUAAGGGUGCUUGGGUGGUGAUGGUGGUGGUGGUGGGGACUUGUACUUGUAAGGAUGCUUGGGUGGUGAUGGUGGUGGAGGUGGAGGAGACUUGUACUUGUAAGGAUGCUUGGGUGGUGAUGGUGGAGGAGGUGGUGGAGACUUAUAGUUGUAAACAGGAGUUGGUGGGGGAGGAGAUUUGUACUUGUAAGGCUUCUUGUGUGGUGGUGGUGGUGGAGAGUAGACCGGAGGAGGCGGUGGUGGAGACUUGUAAUGGUAAGGUGGUGGUGGGUACUUCUUAGGUGGUGGUGGAGGAGAAGAAUAAGUGUAAUCUGCUGAGGUUUCAAAAGGCAAAUUGAGAGACACUGCUAAAACUAAAAGAGUGAGAAAGAGAGAGGUCAUUGAUGACCCCAUUUUCCCCAUCCUUACUUCUAAAAAUGGGUUUAAUUUGGUUAUGCUCUUAGCAGCCCUCUUCACUCCCUUUAUAUAGACUUUGUUUUAAAGUUACAAUCAUGAUAAAAGUGUGAAGGUGGACCGAACCUUCAGCAGCAUUGAAAAAAGACGUUACGUUUAGGUUAUUAGCAUGGUAUGACAUAAUAAUUCUCUAUUCUCUUCCUUGUCGUUUCCCAUAAAUUUAAUUUAAAUAGUCCAUUUGCUAUAUUUAUAUUUCUGUUUCUCUAUUAAAUAUUUAUCAAAUUCAUUUCUCACUCCUUAUAGAAUAUGAAUAAUUAAUCAUUAAACUCGAUUUAGUAAAUACUUUAAAAAAUGAUUUAUCUUAUUUUUAUGCUUUAAUUAAGGCAUCAAAUCAUUAAUCCCAUUUGAUAUUAUGAAAAUUUAUCACUUAAUUGAUCAAAAUGUGAUUCUUGGCAGGAAAACAUAAUUUACUUUCCUUAAAAUGUAAUUUUUAUUGAGAGUUAUUUUUCCACUAACAAUAGAAAGUGAUUCUCUUUAUAAUUCGUGAAAAAAUUACUUUCACAUGUAAAUAAAAAUUGUUAGGAUAAAAUUAACUUUUCUUUUAUUUAUGUUAAGGUUACUAAUUAACUUAUUCAACUUUAAUAAAAGAUAAACAUAGUUGUAGCUUGUUUGUUGAUGUUAGUUUUUUGUCUUUACAACUUCAAACCAUUAUUCUAGUGUAAUUUUUUUUUCUUUCUAAAUAGUAGAUAAGUAUCUAUAUUUUAUUUUGCUAUAAGAAAAUUAUAUUUUUUAGCAUACAAAACUUAAGAUAACUUGUAGAAUCAAGUAGUUGUAUACCUAUUACUCUAGCAAUAAUAAUAUUGACAUUGUCUACUUUCAAAUUAAAAUUUCAAAUUAGUUCAUUGCCCAAUUUUCUCAUUAAAAAAAAUUAUAUAUAACAUGUCAACUUAACGAAACUUACAUGAAAUUUUGUAUGUGUUAAAAAUGAAAAAUAUGGCGGUUAUUAAAAAAGAUGUCAUACAUCUAAAUCAAACUACUAAUUUAAAAAUUAGUAUUGAGAUAAUUUCAAGCCAUAUAUGCAAUAUUUGAGUAUACUUGAACUUAUACAUACAAAUUAGUGAGGAUUAAAAUUUUGUAAAUUGUACAUCUUCACAAUCUUGCGUUAAUAUACAAUUUUUUUAAUGUAUUAAUAUAAUGUUUUAGAUCAAGACGUGAAAAAACAUAAUUCAAAUAUUUGUUAAUAGUAAAAAAUUAUUAAUAAAUAUUUAAUUCAAAAUUUAUUAAUAAUAAAAAUUAUUGAAAAAUAUUAAAUACGUUAAUAUUAUUUUUAUUUAAUAAUGAUACUUUUGUACAGUAAUCUUAUAUUCCCAAAUAAGUGUUAAAUGUGUCAAGAUUUUAAUCAAUACUUUCCGGUGAUUACCAAACGUUGUGAAGUAACUUCUUAAACAAUAAUAUUCUUAUCAAUCACAUUCCAUUAAAAUUUUAACAUAGAAAAGCACCAAAACGCCCCCUUAAAAUCGUGGUAAGUCUUGUUUGUCUAAAAUUUAAAUAUUUAUUUUAUUAUUUAAAAUAUAUUAAUUUUCUAAAAAAAAUCAUUAAUAUUUAUAUUUCUAAUUUUAAACAUUCUUUUGUUAAUUAAAUGAUAGUCUAAACGGUUAAACUCAAAUCGAAAGCAUUUUAUCUUAUAUUAGAUUAUAUGAAUCAUAUUAUGGUUGAAAGUAAAAUGUAUAAAAUCAAUACAAACAUCAAAUAUUAAACUUCCACUCAAUAGAUUUUAAAAUUUCUAAUUUUAUCACUAAUCUAUUUUAAGAUUUUUUUAAAAAAAAUCGUACUUUAGAUUAUCUAAUUUAAAAUUUUAUAAAAUUAUUAAAAAAUAUUCUUGUAAUAAAAAAAAUUUGUUUUAAAAUUUUUAAUUUUUUAUAUAACCAAUGAAUUUUUUACGUUUGUUUUAACUGGUUAUCUAAACAAAAUAAAAACUUAUUUAGUUUAAAUAAAGUGGUAAAUGUGAAAGCACCACAAAUCACAACUACAUUAGUUUUAUAAUUGGAUUAAUUUAAUCACCGGCAGAGGAAAUGUGUUAGUUCUAGCUACCAACAAUUCAUUUUAAUUCCUUUAAAAAUAUUAGAAAAAACCAAUUUGAUUUUUAAUAAUAGAUCUAAUUACUUAAAGGAACAUGGGUGAUGUGCACAUGGCAUACAAGCAUAAAAAAGAACAAAAAGAUUAAGUAUCUUUGCAAAAUAUCUCUCUCUGAAAUAAAUAAAACUUAAAAAAAAACAAUUUUAUUAUCAAAAUAAAAAGAAAAUAGUGUUUUUCUUCACAAAAAAAGAAAAGAAAAGAAAUACUAGUGUUUUUAAUUAAAAUAGAGUGAUCUGGGUAGAAUCUUUUACUUAAAUACUGACAUUGACUUUAUAAGCUAUUUUUUAUCAAAAGAAGAAAGAGAAAAGCAUCCGAUUGAAGAUGUGAAUUAUUAAGUUAAAAUUAAUCAUACAUGUAAAAUAUUAUUGUGCUUUUUUCUAGCCCUCCGAAAGACAUUAUGCUUUGAUUACAACAUUCUUCCUCAGAGAUGAGGUUUGAAGAUGAACUCGGAUGCAUUUAGAUUUUUACAAGACGAAAGUAAAUUAAAGGAUGUUAGUACUUGUAUUCCGAUACGCUUAUAAUACAGAAAGCAAGUAAUAUGUGACUGUACAUAAUGGCUAUGAGGCGAGGAUAUGAUACGAGAAGAUAGAGAUGAGAGAUUGCACUUAAGGGGUUAGCACCUCUUUUCUUUUUGUGUUUGGUCCCCAAAGCAUAUCUCUUAUUGGCUGAUGUUGCAAGGCGGUCCCAUAAGUUGGGCUAAAAGUGCUUGAUAGCUAGAAUUAAUAUUGUGGUAUAACAUAUGUCACCCCUAUAUUUGAAUAAGGUUACAAAGUGACUACUUGAAGAUUUAAAAAAGCAUGGAGAUAAUUUUGUUGCGAAAAUUAAAAGUAAGAGCUAAAUUGUUUGGCUUUAUUAGAGUAUAGACUCUGUUAGUCUAUUAUCAUUUUGUUAUAUAGGCUGGAAUAUUAUUAGUAAGCAGUUAGCAGCAGUUAGUCAUACAAGUAUAAAUUCUAUUCAUGUAUUGUUCAAAGAUAAGCUAAUAAUACCAGAAGAGAUUUAACAUGUUCAUUCUACUUUUUUUUGUUAUUCUUCAUAAUACAGUUGUUAACAUGGUCUCAGUCGCCAAAUUUCUUGGAGGUUGCUUCUAUUGUAGAUCCAUGGCCAAUUCCACUGAUUCUACCUUCGCUGGUCGUAGCAGUCCCUCAUUCUCAGUUCAUGUUUGGUUCAAUCGUUUCCUCGUCAUGGCACUGUGAAGUUAGAUGAAGGAAAUUUUGUACAAUGGCAACAGCAUAUCCAAUUGAUAAUUGAAGGAUAUGAACUCAUAAGAUUUUUAGAAGGGACGUUACCUGCUCCGCCUCGCUUUGUGUCAUCUCCGGAUGGAAACUUAGCUCUGACUCCCGAUGCAUCCCUGUUUGUUCAGCAAGAUAAGUUACUCGCUUAUUGGUUACUUUUUACGAUUAGUGCUCCUUUGUUUUCUUGUUUUACAACUGCUAAGACGGCGUGUGAGGUUUGGAGCACUGCGAAUUGCCUAUUUGCUGCUGCCACUAGAGCCAAGCUUUCGCGUAUUAAGCAUGAACUCCAGUCCAUCACGAAAGGCGUGAUGACUAUCAAAGAGUAUAUUGCUAAGAUUCAAAAUACUUGUGCGUUACUCGAGGAAUCUAGAUCAGUGGUUUUAAAGGCUGAAAAGGUAGAGAUCAUUCUUGCCGGCCUAUUGUCUGAUUAUGAUGUCGUUUUAACUCUGGCAUCGUUCUCAACUGAAACUUUUUCGUUAUAAAAGAUUGUUGAUAUGCUUCUGGAGUUCGAAAGCCAUCAGACUCAAGCGGUGAACGACGUACCUUUUCAUGCUCAUUUGGUAGAGGCCACUUCGGCGACAUCCGUGGAGGACUCCGUACGUGGUGGUCGUCCUCCUUCUGGUGCUCGUAGGCGCGACUUUCGAUCUCAGCUUCAGUGCCAGGACUAUGGUUGCUAUGGACAUUUGGUACAAUGCUGUUAUUAUCAGUUCAACCGCGACUACAGUGAUCUGUCUGUUUUGACCAUGGCGCGGGUUUCGCCUGUUCAUGCUGAUCACAAUUAGCAUAACGAUGUUUUUGGCGCAAGUGGUCUCUCGACUAGCUGGUUUUCAUCAACUUGUCCUGGUCCGGACCCGUUCGUGCCUGGACAGUAUGUCGAUUCUUUGGUGGUGACACCGGCGUAUUUCUCUUAUGGCUCAUCAUGGUGAGGGUGGCCACAUUUGCAAAACAAUGCCUCCCUUGUGCCAAGUUUGUUGAAUGUUAAGGUUUCUAACCCUUUUGCUCAUAAUUUUGACGAUGGGGCAGGCUAGGUGUUUGGGCUCGCUGUUGGACCAAGCUCAAAUUGUGGCCAAUUUGGUGGUCCUCACUUACCGCGGAGAAUGGGCCAGCACGUUAGGCCAUUUGCUAGUGUUCCUAGGCCGACUGGUUCAGGCCAAGAUUUUGGGCCAUAUGGAAUUCGUAGGCUAACCAGUGCUGGUCCUAACAUUGGACAGGGUUCACUUGGGCCAAAUGUUAAUUUUGUUAGACUUGAGGGCUCUUUUGGGCAUGGACAAGGACUUUGGCCCACCACUGGCAAUGUUUCAGUGCCAAAUAAUGGGUCAUGCGUUCCAUGGCGCACUAAACUGACGGCGCACAUUAUUGAUUGAUUUCUCACUGUGUGUUGGGUUGCCUCACAUUCUUGAUUUUCAUGUGUCUGAUAUUUUUACUACCUCUGGGUCCAAUGCUAACACGACUCCGUAUGGGUCUAAUUUUGAUAAUGAUAACUCUUACAUUCCUAUGCCUGUAGGGACCUUGUCCUGGUGUCUUAAUUCAGGGUCUAUACAUCAUGUCUAUCGAGAAGCCUCUACCUUGAACGAGUCUACGCCAUACUCAGGUACAUCUCCUCUCCUCAUGGAUGAUAUUACUCCUACAAAAAUAUCAUGUGUUGGAAACUCUAUCUUGCCUACGAAGACUAAGCUGUUUCAUCUAUCUAAUGUUUUGUGUGUGCCAAAUAUACGGAAGAAUCUGCUAUCUGUCUCUCAAUUUGCUAAUGACAAUAAUAUGGUCUUUGAAUUUCACCCGUCUUAUUGAGGACAUCCAGACUCAGGAAAUUUUGCUUCGGGGCCACACUCGUGAUGGGCUCUAUUAUUUUUCGUAGGUUACUCAUGUUCCGUCUGUCGUUGUUCCUUCUGUUCACAACACUGGGCUCCAGAGUCGCAAUGCCGGUGAUGAUGUUUUUACGUUAUGGCACUACAGACUUGGUCAUCCGUCUGCCUCGAUUGUUAAACUUGUUCUCGAUAAGUGUCAAGUUGUUUCAACUAAAAUGUACCUUGAAAAUAUUUGUAUUGCUUGUCAAAAGGGGAAGUCCCAUAAACUGUCUUUUUCAAGUUCUACUACUAAAUAUACGGAUUUGUUUGAAUUGGUUGUCUUUGACUUAUGUGGACUGGCAUCUGUUGUCUGUAGAAAUAAUCUGUAUCAUGUUUCGUUUAUCGACAUGUGUAGUUAUUUUACUUGGAUUUAUCUCAUUAAACGUAAUUCUAAGGAGGUUGAAUGUUUUCUUCAGUUUCAGAAAAUGGUCAAAACUCAGUUUGGGAAAGAUAUUAAAAAAAUUCAAAGUGAUUGGGGUGGUGAGUUUCUUGCCUUUACGUCAGUUCUGGCUAGUCAUGGGAUACUUCAUCACCUCUCCUGUCCAUAUACAUCCGAGUAGAACGAUGUAGCUGAACGAAAACAUCGACACAUUGUUGAGAUGAGUCUUAUUCUAUUGGCCAAAGCUAACCUAUCCAUGGAUUUCUGUGGUUUCGUAUUUUACAAUGCCAUUCAUCUCAUUAGUCUUCUACCGACCCUAGUUCUGAAAGGUCAGUCUCCAUAUCAGGUUCUUCAUGGUAGUGACCCUACAUAUGAUCAUUUACAAGUAUUUAAGUGUUGUUGAUUUUCGUACCUGCGUCUGUUUCUGCAACACAAGUUGGAUUUUCAUUCUCAGCCAUGCAUAUUUUUUAGGUAUAGUUCUCAACAUAAAGGCUAUCACUGCCUCACACCAAAUGGUAAGGUCAUUGUCUCUCGUCAUGUUGUGUUUGAUGAACGUUGGUUUUUCUUUUCUUCAAAUGCUGUGAACACCGUUCAGUUAAGUCCAUGUAUCUCUACAUAUGUUCCUAUUGUUCGGUCUUCAUCUUGCCGCCCCACGACAUCUUCGCUUGUUCGACCCACUGAGUCAUCGACUCUUGCUCCUAAUUGUAGUUCCACGCUGUCUGUUUCAGUUGACACUCCGGCUGAAUUAGGUUUUACUCAUGAGGUGCAUCGGCUCUCUACCUCAUCCCUUGAAUCUCGUCAAUGCGAUCCAACUACAAUUCCAUUGGCUGUUCCAUCUAUUUCUCUGGAAUACUCAUAACACUAUUACUCAGCUAGACCCAAAGCUCUGUCUGUUGAAAUUGUCAACUGUGAGUCGAUCACGAUUGAAGAGGCGCUCGCUAGUAAGGAAUGGCAAUUAGUUGUCCAAGCUGAGUUUGUUGCUAUAAUGGUUAACUCCACUUGGGAGCUUGUUCCCUUACCUCAUGGUCGAAAAGUGAUUAGGUGUAAGUGGCUUUUUAAAAUAAAAAAAUCCUGAUGGGACUAUCACUUGACGUAAGGCUCGGUUGGAAGCAAAGGGUUGUUCUCAGGUACUCAGGUGUGAUUUCAAGGAAACCUUUAGUUUGGUAGUUAAACCUGCUACUAUUAGAACCAUAUUAUCUGUUGCUAUCUCCAACGGUUGGCAAUUUGGUCAGGUAGAUGUGAACAAUGCUUUUUUAAAUGGUGAUCUUAUUGACGAAGUGUUCAUGCAGCAACCUCUAGGCUAUGUUCAGAUUGGUCAAAAUGGUGAGCCCUUGGUGUAUCAUUUGACAAAGGUGUUGUACAGAUUAAGACAAGCUCCACGUGCUUGGUUUGAUAAAUUGAAACGUUUUUUUGUUUCUAUUGGAUUUGCUUUAUCCAAAUCUGAUGUAUCCUUAUUUGUUCAAGUUAAUUCGAAUCCACUAUUUAUGUUUUAGUCUAUAUGGAUGAUAUUAUCGUUACUAGAAGUACGAUCGACGGUAUAAAUGGCUGUAUUCAAUAGUUACAUAAUGUGUUUCCCUUAAAGAUAUGGGAGAUCUUUACUACUUCUUAGGCAUUGAAGUCACUCGGUAGUCCACUGGGAGUCUCCAUUUGUGCCAACGCAAAUACAUUCGGGAUCUUCUUGACAGUAGUUUUUUAGCUAAUGCAAAGAGUGUUCACACACCGAUGGUUAGUUCUUUUACGUUGUUUAAAGAUGUGGGAGAUCGCCUCGUUGAUCCUACUGGAUAUAGAAGUCUUGUCGGUGUAUUACAAUAUGUGGUCUUGACUCUGCCUGAUAUUGCUUAUGCUAUAAAUCAUGUUUGUCAAUUCAUGCAUGCCCCUACUACAGUACAUUUGGUGGCUUUGAAAAGAAUCUUGCACUAUUUAUGUGACACUAUUAAUCAUGGGUUAAUUUUGUCUGUUCAACAUAUUGUCUUUAGUUGGCUAUGCUAAUGCCAACUGGGGACUGGAUUUUGAUGAUCGUAAAUCAACAACAAGCUAUUGUUUGUAUUUUGGGUAUACACCCAUCUCUUGGUGAUCUAAGAGACAACUCUACUGCGUGAGGCGAAGUAUUUUGGCCGCACCAUGGCUGAGGUGAAGUAUCGAAGUCUAGCAACAACUACCAGUGAUGUUACUUGGUUAGUCUCUCUACUAACAAAAUUACAGAUUCAUUCUAUAGAUCCACAUACUAUUUGGCGUGACAACUCUAAUGCAGUAGCGGUCAUUGCUAAUCCGGUCUGACACUCUAAAUUUAAACAUGCCAAGCUUGAUCUAUUUUUUGUUCGCGAAAAGGUCGCUAAUGGUUCUCUCGUUGUCGGUGAGAUUCUAGCAUGUGAUUAAGUUGCUGACAUUCUCACAAAACCACUGUUCGUCUCUACUUUUGCUAGGUUUCGUAGUCUGCUUCAAUUCUUACCUCUUGAGAAGCUGGGUGAAGCCAGGUGAAUAUUAGAGUAUAGACUCUGUUAGUCUGUUACCAUUUUGUUAUUCAGGCUGGAAUAUUGUUAGUAAGCAGUUAGUCAUAGCAGUUAGUCAUACAAUUAUAAAUUCUAUUCAUGUAUUGUUCAAAGGUAAGCUAAUAAUACCAAAAGAGAUUUAAUGUGCUCAUUCUACUUUCUUUGUUAUUCUUCAUAAUACAGUUGUUAACAUGCUUGAUAUCAUCUCUUAGAGAGAACGAGGAGAGAUAAGAGUAAGAGUAUGAGCCAACUAGGGAUAAGGCUCUACCAUAAUACCUUGGAUGCAAUUAAAGUAAGAGUAAGAGCCAACUUGUUUGGCUUGAUAGCAUCCCCUUAUAGAAAAGGCUCUACCGCAUGGCAUGAGAGCAAUAAAAGUAACACUCAAUUUCUUGGGUUGAUAGCAUCUCCUUAGGGAAAAGGGUUUACCAUGUGACAUGAAAGCAAUUAAAGUAAGAGUAAGAUCCAACUUGUUUGUCUUAAUAGCAUCAUUUAAGAGAAAUAUCCCAAUCAAUUUAUUCAAAUAUGUUAAUCAAAUAAUGCAAGUUACAAUGUUCUGUCAGUUUUUCCUUUAAUUGUAACUGGGUUAAAGUUGGUAGUUGUAACUGCUACUAAUAGAAUGGAUACGGUAGAAAUGGUUGCAAGCAACAUAAGCAAAGAUGACUUUAAUGUCUUUGUAUUGACCACGUGAGAACUAUAGAAUGCAGAGAAUAGUAUGGUGAUUGGCAACAGAAUGCUACUAACCUUGAGGAUAGUAGACAGGGAUGGAUCCACGGGGGUUGGGGGCGGUCCCCCCUUGGAAUUUUUAAAAUUUUAAAUUUUAUAUAUAAAUUAUCAUGUAUUUUAAAUUUGGUGUCCACAUUGUAUAGCAUUCACCCCCCUUUUCCAAAUUGCAUUUCAUAUCAUUUGCCCUCUUAAGCCAUAAGGUUAUACUUUAUAUUAACAAAGUAUUUUCCAUUUUUUAAUUAUAUAAAUUUAAUAAUAAUAAUAAUAAUCAAAUAUUAAUAUAUGAUUGGCAUUGAAAGACUAAACAUAAAGGUCCAGUUGAGACUUUAAAGCCAAAUUCCAUAAUUAAUUAAUUGAUUUGGCCCAUACCAGUACAUAUUAGGUUAGCGAAAUUCUUGUAUUUUGAUUUGUAUGUCUUGCUAAGGAAUUAUCUUCCUUUGGUAAGGUGUUGACACUGCCAAGAGAAAAAGAAAGGAUUUUGAUGUCGAGAUUGUGAGCAUAGAGUAAAAAAAAUACAAAUUAUCUUCCUCUUAGCUCCUUAUGGAAAAAACCUCUCGGUAAAUAUUUUUGCAUAAAUUAUGUUUUUUAUUAAUUUGACUUAGUUUUUUUCUUUUUUCCUAAUACAUUGUUGUUUAAUAUAUUCUUACAAUCAUCAGGUUUUUUGACUAAAUUAUGGUCAAUAAAAACAUCGAAUCUAUUUAAAAAAAAAGAGUGUCAGAAAGCAAUAAUGAUCAACCGGUUCCUCAACCUUCCAUUAUUAGUGAAGAAAAAUCAAAUAUCGGAUCUUCCAAAGCUCUUGAACAAAAUAUCAGGUCUUCUUAAGCCCAAGCUCCUAAAUGCGGUAUGGAGUCUUCCCCAACUCCUGAACGAGAUUGUAACAAUCCAUACCCAAUUCGAUCACCAAAUCCAAGUAGAGAGCGCCGCAACUUAAACCAUAUGAAUUGAAUAAUAAAUAUUUGAAAUUUAUUAAAGUAUCGAGUUCUUGGUGUAACCCUCAGUAUAACAAUACGAAACAAUUAAAUCAAUGAUACGCCAGGAAAAAAUGUUUUUAGGCAAAACACAUGGCGGAAGCCUUACAAAAUUUUAUAAGUUUAUAUAAAAUGUAAGAUGAGUUAAUCCCAUACAACAGUUUCAAGUGCAUCGUUGGCGGUUAAAAGAACAUUCAAAAACUAUUCGGCGUAUAUGCCAAUGAGACAAUCACGUGGAACAAGAUAUAGUAGCUUAAACACAUACAUCACUUACCACGUCAUCAUAACAUAUACUAACCAUAUAAACAAACUUAUCGAGCUGCGAACUAACAAGUUCACCCAAACAUCUAGGGUUAGCGAUAACUUAUUAGAAGAGCCCGCCAAACCCUAGAGUUCGCCAAAACCUGGAGUUCACCAAAUGGCGACUCCCAUAGAAUACGCCAAACACACAACCAAAAAUAAAUACUCUACUAAUUUACUCAUUUUAUAUUCUUAGCAUAAACAACUAUGCACCAAACAGUAACUUGAUACAUUAUCUUUCGGGCGAGUUGUUACAAUUCUCCCCCAUUUAGAAACUUUUGUCCUUGAAAUUCUUACCGGUGAAUAACUGAGGAUAUUGUUCUUUCAUCGAACUCUCUCUUUCCCAAAUGGCUUCUUUUGUAUUGUGAUUUAUCUAUAAUACAUUAACCAAAGGAAUUCUUUUACUUCUCAACUCUUUUACUUCCCUUGCUAAAAUACAAACAGGUUCUUCUUCAUAGGACAAGUUUUGCUCCACUUCCAGUGCUUUGACUUGUACCACAUAAUCUGGAUUGGAUUGAUAUUUUCUUAACAUAGAUAUAUUAAACACAUUAUGUAUAUUUGAUAACUCUGGUGGCAACACCAGUUUGUAUGCCACUGGACCAACUUAUUCCAAAAUCUCAUAUGGUUCUAUGAAAUGCAGACUUAAUUUCCCUUUUUGUUCAAACCUUAUGAUCUUCUUCCAAAGAGAAAACUUCAUAAAUGCAUUGUCACCCACUUCGAAAGAGAUUAUUUUCCUUUUUAGAUCAGCAUAAGCUUUCUGGCGAUCUUAAGUUACUUUCAGAUGAUUUCUAAUGAUAAAGACUUUCUCUUCUGUUUCUCAUACUAAAUCAAGACCAACUAUUUUCCUUUUACUGAGUCUCAUCCAAUAGGUAGGAGAUCUGCACCUUCGUCUAUACAAAGCUCCAAAUGGUAACAUUCCCAGACUGUCAUAAUAACUAUUAUUAUACGCAAACUCUAGCAAAGGAAGAUAUCUUUCUCAAUUCAUUCUAAAAUCUAUAAUACAACCUCUAAACAUGUCUUCUAGAACUUGAAAUACUCUUUCAAAUUGCUCAUCGAAUUAGGGAUGAAAGGUAGUACAGAAUCAUUAUUUCGUUCCCAACGAUUCUUGCAGUUGUCUCCAAAAUCUCAAUGUAAACAUUGGGUCUCGAUCUGAAACUAUGGAUGUUGGAAUCCCAUGAGGCGUACAACUUCAGAAACGUAGAGAUUAGCCAACUUUUCCAAUAAGUAAUUUGUGCGGACAAACAAGAUAUGGGCUAACUUAGUAAGUCGAUCUACAAUUACCUAGACUGAGUACUUCUUCGAAAGGAUGAGAGGGAGAGCCAAAACAAAAUCCAUGGUGAUCUUAUCCCACUUCCACAUAGAUAUCUCUAAAAGGUACAACUUGCCUAAGGGAACCUGAUGUUCUAUUUUAAUCUGCUGACAUGUCAAACAAAUGGAAAUGUACUUUGUUAUUUCUUUCUUCAUUUCAAGUCAGUAAUACAAACUUAUCAAAUUAUGAUACAUUUUAUGUAAAACUCUCAACCCAACUCGAAAUGUCGAGUCUGGAUCUCGGGUAUUACUAUACAUAAUACUUGGCAAAAUAUCAAAAUAGUUGACAAAUACUCUUUAUAGAAAACAUUUUCUUAUUAUUUUAACCAAAAGACUAAAUAUUUAAUAACAAGAGAAAAUAUUAAAAACAAAAAAAAAUUAUUACAUCAGACUUGGUACAACUCAUUAUAGUAUAAAAUUUUGUUAAAGACAUACUCUUGGGGCAUAACCCUAAUCUAAGCCACUUUUCCACUAUAUGCAUAAUAACCCACUUCGCCACUAUCUUGGCGUACUCCUAGCAUCGUCACUCCUAAUGCAUUCUCUACCCAUACACCUGAAAACAACAACAUUUUAAGCUUAAGAUAACUUAGUGACUUUUAUCCCAAAAAUACCUUGGCGAGUACUUUAUAUUAUUUGAAGAACAUUUGUGCGCCAUCUAUCCUUCUGAACCACCUUCUUCUGAAUUAAGUGGAUACUAUUAUAGAUUCAACUUUCACUUACACGCCAACUAUCAUACUCUUAACAAACUCACUUAUUCUAGAAUAGUUGUUCACAUAUAUUAAUCACUAAUUGAUACAUUCAUAUUUGGCGAAUACUUACGCAGAUCUGAAUACCAUCAAACUACUAAUCAAAUCAUACCUUGAUCCGAUACCAUACAAACUCAUACUGAUAAUGUACUACACAAAUUAUUCAAAUGAAUUUUCCACUACUUUGUUACAGGACCCCAGAUAAUCAUCAUAACAAUAACUCAAUUUUCAUAUGAUUUCAGAAGAAGAUAUAAUACAACCCAAAUACGGCAAAUUCCAGAUAACUCAGAUUCAACAACUGCUUAACACAUACGAACUCACAUUUAUAAUUUCUUAUGUCCCACAUAACUACGACUAUGUCUAUAUUCAACACUAACAAAUAAUCAUGACGGAUACCCUUCUUAUACAUAUAUGCAUUUCUUUUCUAGAAAUCUCUUAAGACUUACUCAAUUAUAUCACAUAUCUUAUUCAACCCUUAACUUUAGACAUAUCAUAACCCUAUCAUAUCAAUAUCUAUCACAAAAAAAAUCAGGAUUUAUCCAAAACUUACCAUAAAGGUAGAUAAUCAUAUUAUAUCAGACAAACUUAACUAAAUGUGCCACAAAGGCCAAACAAAAUAUGCCUUAAAGGCUUCAUACAAAAUCACGUGUUUACUAUCCCGACGGACUAUCACAAAAGGUGUCAUGGGUUUCUCCCACAUGGACUUAUACAUAAUUUCAUGUAUUGUGAUCUGCCAUUUUGAAUCAUACGUUAUCGAAGGAUACUCCAUAAGCAUACAUACAGACAUAUCUUGCCAUGUGUCUCAGCCACAUGGCUUAAACACACAUUCAUGUACUGUGAUAUGUCAAUCCAGUCUUACUCUUAUUAGAGCCUACACCAUGAGUGUUUUCAAAUCAUAUUAAGAUGUUGUAGGUCUCAACCUCAUAGUCUUACACUUGUUUUCAUAUCGUGACCUGCCAGUCUAGUUAGCAAUAUAAUUGCCUACCAGAGGCUUCAUAGAGGAACAUUUGCUUAGAUUCACUUACCUAGAUGAUCUGUAACACCCCUUACCCGAGACCGUUGUCAGAGUCGAGCACGAGGUAUUACUUAUCUUAUCUUACUAACUCGAAGCAUAAAAACUUGUUUUAAAAAUUAAUUUCACUAUUUAUAGCAAUUUGUCCAAUCGCGCAGCAGUUACUAAAUUAAUUAUAACUCGAGAUACGGAACUUGAAAUUUAACUCCGUAAAUUUUCCCUGAAACUAGACUCAUAUAUCUUCCUACCAUAAAAAUUUUAGGAUUUUUAGUUUAUCAAAUUAGUACAGUUUAUUAGUUAAAUUCUCCCCUGUUUCACAAAUCGACUGCCCUGACCUCUUAUCACUAAAAAUAAAAUGUAUCAUUGUGGGAUUUUCGUAUAGUGCUACCGCUUGCUUCUACAGAAAAUAGACUCAAUAAGGAAUCUAUACAUAUAAACUACAACUCAUAAAUAUUUUUUUAAAAUUUUUAAUGAUUUUAUAAACUCAAAACAGGGGUCACCAAAAACUGUUCUAACCCUGUCUCACCAAAAUUCACAUAUCUUAAAAUAUAAAUUCCUUUUGCUACACCGUUAUUUUUAUGUGAAAAUAGACUCAACAAGAUUUAUGUCAUUCAAUAUUUAAUUCAUUUUAUACUAUCCUAGGUGAUUUUUCAAAGUCACGUCACUGUUGCUGCCUGAAUUCUGUUUCUUUGCAAAAUUUUACCCUUUUAUGAUUUCCAUGCAUAGUUUAUCACUUAGACUCUUAUAACAACAAACACUUCCAUACUUAACCAUUUUAGCAACCAUUCAUCAUCAAAUACUUACACAUCAUUCUUUAGCAAGAUCAUAAAUACAAACAUUUAAAAUAACUAAAUCCCUUUACAUUCCAUACUCAACAUGGUUCAACAUAAAAAUACCGAGUUGCUGUGGUUGAUAGUGUGGACGAUCUCCGACUUCUUUAGGAUCCUUGAAGUAACCUUGCAAUACUAUAAGAGAAAGAGAAAUAAAAGACGUAAGCAUAAAGCUUAGUAAGUUUACUAGCAAAUAAAUAACAAUAUUUAACUAGAUAAUUAAACUCAAGUGUCUAUAUCUCUAGUUUACUAUUUAGUUAAUCUCAUUCUAGUUCUCUUGCUUGUUUACUUAGUAUACUUGUGUGCAUAACUUACUCCUCUCUUGCUGUAUAGUUGAAUAUCAAUUGAUAAUAUAAUAAGUUAUUAACUCUUAUAACUUACCUGAACUUGCCAUUUAUGUUUUUAACUGAACUUUCCUGAACAUGAUUCGUUAUUUAGCCCGUUGAGCUACAUUGGAACAAUAAGGAUACUCGGGUCUCUUCUGAUAAUAACAUGCCAAAGCCAUGUCCCAGACAUGGUCUUACAUGGGAUGUACUCAUGUCGGUGCCCAUUCCAUAUCCCAGACAUGGUCUUACGGGGGACCUCUCAUCUCGGUGCCAAUGCCAUGUCCCAGACAUGGUCUUACAUGGGACCUCUCAUCUCGGUGCCAACGCCAUGUCCCAGACAUGGUCUUACAUGGGACCUCUCAUCUCGGUGCCAACGCCAUGUCCCAGACAUGGUCUUACAUGGGACCUCUUUACCCAAAUGUCAUGACAUUCGUAUCCAGUACCAUCCUUACUAUUCAUGACAACCGAUAUAUAUAUAUACAUACUCACUAUUCACAAGGACUCGAACGAUUAUAUACUCAUCAACCACCUUAAAACAAUGUUCAUAAACUUAUCCAUUUCAUAUAAACAAAAGCAUAUAUAUUUAUAACCAAUGCAUAGAAUCACUUAAUUUAAACAGAUUCACUGGCACUUCACCUGAUAGGCUUAUAGUUUAAUUCAGUUCACCGGCACUUAGCCUACUAGGCUUGUAGCCUGAUUCAGUUCACCGGCACUUAGCCUGCUAGACGUAUAGUCCGAUUCAAUUCACCGGCAUUUAGCCUGCUAGACGUAUAGUCUGAUUCAAUUUACCGGCACUUAGCCUGCUAGACGUAUAGUCUGAAUAAUUUUACUGGUAAUAAAUCCGAUAGUAAUUUCUCCGUUGAAAUUGAAUUAUAUUCAAUUCUGCGUAACAAACAUGCACUUAAAACAUACUUGCAUAAUUCACAACAAUAAUUUCAGUCCAAAGAGCUGUAAUUCAUAUUCGAACUAUAUAUAUAUAAAUCCAUACAUAAAAAUUCAACUCAAAAUUUAUAACCUAUAUCUUUGAACCACAUAGGUACAUGAAAUUCAAACACCAAAAUCCAGCUCAAUAACUUCAUGAUUCAACCUAACAAAUUUAUGUAUAUAACUUUUUAUCUAAUUUCAAUACAAUAACUUAUACAUGUACGUAUAUACAUAUUCGAAUCUAACAUAUACAUAUAUAAUUUCAUACUUAAAUAUAUUCAAGACUUAUUCAUGAGUAUACAUAUAUAUUACAACUCACAUGUACAUAUAUAUACACAUUCAUACCUUUAACCAAGUCCAAGGCUUUAUACAUGUAUAUGCUUAUAUAUAUAUAUUCGGACCUUAUGUUUACAUAUAUAUAUUAUAUAAAUACCUUUGAUUAAAAACAAGUAUUUAUACAUAUAUAUAUUUUCGAACAUGAUACAUAUAUAUUUAUAUCAUUCAUACUUAAACAAAAUUCAAUCCAUAUACUUUCAAUUUCAGCUCACCAAAUUACUAUAGAUAUACAUGCAUAUAUACUGAUUUAAUAACCUCAAAUUGCUAAUAGACUUACCUCGGAUAUCAGCGGACACGAUCGAGUAUUCGAUUACUUUCGUUUUUCCCCGAUCCAAAUUCGUUUUCUUCGUUUUUUAUCUUAAUUAGACCUAGAGAUAGCCGAACCUUGUUGUUCUCUUUUCUUUUCUUUUCUUUUUCUUUUCUAUAUUCGGCCAAGAUGAAGAACAUGGCAUUUAAAAUUUGUUAUAUUAAACAUAUAUUAGCCUUAUUUUUAAUUUACUAUAUUAACCUUUACAUAUAUAUAACAUAUAUAAUAAGGUUACAUUAGUCCUUUGCCACCCACUAACUUACAUAGUGGACUAAUUGCAUAGUAAAACCUCUAAAUUAUAAAGACAACAAGAAUUAGGUCCUUUUAUAAUUAACCCCUAAAUUUUCAUUUUACGCGAUUAAGCCCUUUUAUUAAAUCGGACACUUAAACGACGAAAUUAAAACACGAAAAUUUCACACAAUCAAAUGCAUACAAAACAAUAUUAAUAAUAUUUUUCUAAUUCAAAUUUGUGGUCCCGAAACCAGUAUUCUGAUUAGGGUCAAAAACCGGGUUGUUACAACUCUCCCCCCUUAGGGAUUUUCGUCCCCGAAAAUCUUACCGGUGAAUAGGUUUGGAUAACGCUCUUUCAUUGUAUCUUCUAACUCCCAAGUUGCUUCUUCAACCCCAUGUUUAUGCCACAACACUUUAACUAACGGAAUUUUCUUAUUUCGUAAUUCUUUGAUCUCACGAGCCAGAAUGCUAAUCGGUUCUUCCUCAUAUGUCAUAUCAGAGUUAAUUUCAAUCUCCGUCGGACUAAUCACAUGUGAAGGAUCAGAUCGGUAUCUACGAAGCAUCGAAACAUGGAAUACGUUAUGAAUCUUUUCUAACUCAGGCAGUAACAUCAAUCUAUAAGCAACCAAUCCAACUCGCUCUAUAAUCUCAUACGGUCCAAUGAAUCUCGGACACAAUUUGCCUUUACGACCAAAUCUGAGUAUUUUCUUCCACGGUGAGACUUUUAAAAACACUUUAUCCCCGAUCUGAAAUUCUAUAUCCUUUCUUUUCAAAUUCGCAUAAGAUUUCUGACGAUCCGAUGCUGAUUUCAGACUGUCCCGAAUCACUUUCACUUUCUGUUCGGUCUCUUUAAUCAAAUCAACCCCGUGUAUCUUAUUUUCACUGAGCUCGGUCCAAUACAGUGGUGUACGACAUUUACAACCGUACAAAGCCUCAUAAGGUGCCAUUUUGAUACUAGAUUGAAAGCUAUUAUUAUAAGCAAAUUCAAUCAAAGGUAAGUAUCGUUCCCACGUACCUUCAAACUCGAGAAUGCAACAUCUCAACAUAUCCUCAAGUAUCUGAAUGAUUCAUUCAGAUUGACCAUCUGUCUGCGGAUCGAAAGCUGUGCUAAAAUGUAGUUUCGUACCUAAAGCAUCUUGUAGUUUCUUCCAAAAUCGCGAUGUGAAUCUCAGAUCUCUGUCUGAAACAAUAGAAAUAGGUACACCAUGCAACCUCACAAUUUGUGAAAUAUACAAUUCCGCAAGUUUAUCGAGCGAAAAAUCUGUACGAAUCGAAAUAAAAUGUGUCGAUUUUGUCAACCUAUCAACAAUAACCCAGAUUGCAUCUAUCUUGCUCGGUGUCAACGGUAAAUCGGAUACAAAAUCCAUCGUGACUCGAUCCCAUUUCCAUUGAGGUAUCAUGAUCGGCUGAAGCAACCCAGAUGGUACCUGAUGCUUGGCUUUAACUUGCUGACAAAUUAAACAUUUCGAAACAAAGUCAGAAAUGUCUCGUUUCAUACCUUGCCACCAAUAGUGCUGUUUCAGAUCGUUAUACAUUUUCGUGCUACCCGGAUGAACAGAAAAUCGACUACUAUGAGCUUCCUUCAAAAUCAUCUAAAUUAACUCUGAUUUUUUCGGAACACAUAAUCGGUUUCUAAAUCUCAAACAAUCCUCAGCAUCAACUAAAAACUCCGAAUCAAUAUUUAAGUCACAUUGAGCUCGUUUUGCAGUUAAAUCAUUAUCGACCUUUUGAGCUUCACAAAUCUGUUGUACAAAUAACGGUUUUGCUUUCAACUCAGCUACUAUCGCACCAUCAUCAGACAUAACCAUAUGUGCGUUCAUUGCACGCAAAGCAAACAGUGAUUUUCGACUUAGGGCAUCAGCAACAACAUUAGCCUUUCCCGGAUGAUAGUCAAUCACAAGCUCGUAUUCUUUCAGCAAUUCUAACCAUCGACGCUGUCUCAAAUUCAGAUAUUUCUGAGUCAUCAAAUAUUUCAGGCUUUUGGGAUCGGAAUAAACAUGACAUCUUUCACCAAACAGAUAGUGACGCCAUAUUUUUAACGCAAAUACAAUAGCGGCCAAUUCCAGAUCAUGUGUCGGAUAGUUUUUUUCAUGCGGCUUUAACUGUCUCAAGGCAUAGGCUACAACUUUGCCUUCCUACAUCAAAACACAACCCAAACCAUUUAAAGAUGCAUCACUAUAGAUAACAAACUCUUUACCCGAUUCGGGUUGAACUAAGACUGGAGCUUCGGUCAAAAGAACUUUCAACUGAUCAAAGUUUUUCUGACACUUUUCUGACCACUCGAACUUAACGUCUUUUUGUAGUAGCUUUGUCAUCGGGGUCGCAAUCAUAGAAAACCCUUUCACGAACCGUCUAUAAUAACCAGCGAGCCCCAGAAAGCUUCGAACAUCAGAGACAUUUCUCGGAGGUUUCCAAUCAAGUAUAGCUGAAAUUUUACCUGGAUCAACUCGAAUACCCGAUGCUGACACAACAUGGCCCAGAAAACUAACUUCACGUAACCAGAACUCGCAUUUACUGAACUUUGCAUACAACUGUUUAUCUCGCAAAGUUUGUAACACAAGUCUCAGAUGUUCAGUAUGCUCGGUUUCAUCACGAGAGUAGAUCAAAAUAUCAUCUAUAAAUACUACCACAAAUCGAUCCAGAUACUGUCUAAAAAUCUGAUUCAUCAAAUCCAUGAAAACAGCAGGUGCAUUAGUAAGUCCAAAAGGCAUAACCAAGAACUCAUAAUGUCCGUACCUCGUUCGGAAAGCUGUCUUUGGCACAUCAGAGUCUUUAACUCGCAACUGAUAGUAGCCUGAUCUCAGAUCUAUCUUCGAAAACACAGUAGCCCCUUUCAACUGAUCGAACAAAUCAUCAAUCCGUGGUAACGGAUACUUAUUCUUUAUAGUCACCUUAUUGAGUUGCCGGUAAUCAAUGCACAUUCUCAUUGUUCUGUCUUUCUUUUUCACAAAUAGAACUGGUGCACCCCAAGGAGAGAAACUCGGUCGUGUAAAACCUUUAUCAGUCAACUCUUGCAACUGUACUUUCAAUUCUUUUAAUUCGGUCGGUACCAUACGGUACGGAGCUAUCGAAAUUGGAGUUGUCCCUGGUACUAACUCAAUACCAAACUCUACCUCUCGAAUAGGUGGCAAACCCGGUAAUUCUUCGGGAAACACGUCUGAAUACUUACACACUACUGGCACAGAUUCAAUCUUCUUUUCGGUCACUUUACUAUCAAGAAAAAAUGCAAGGUAAUCUUCACAACCUUUUCUCACAUACUUCUGAGCCGACAUCGAGGAUAUUAUUGCUGGUAAACCAUUCAGAUCAUUAGAUUCAAUCCGAAUAAUCUCAUCAUUCUGACACCGUAGAUCAAUAGUUUUCCGUUUGCAGUUUACUAUAGCAUUAUGCAGAGUUAACCAAUCCAUACCCAGAAUUAUAUCAAACUCGUCAAAUGGUAGCAACAUCAAAUCAGCCAGAAAACAUAAAUCUCGAAUCAUCAACGGACAAUUCUUGCACACUUUGUCAACCAAAACACACCGGCCCAAGAGGUUCAAUACUUUAAUUACAAACUCAGUAGACUCAACAGGCAAAGUCUUACUGAAUACUAAAGUCUCACACACAUAAGAAUGAGUCGAACCAAGAUCAAUCAAUGCAAUAACAUUAGUAUCAUAAAGAGUGAAAGUACCAGUAAUAACAUCUGGAGAAGAAGCCUCCUCCCGAGCACGGAUGGCAUAUGCUCUGGCAAGUGCACGAGCCUCAGAUCGAACUGCCAUGUCCUUUGUUCCUCUCUGACUGCCACUUACAUUACUCAAUUGCCUCGGCGGUCUACCUCGUACAGGUACUUUACUCGGUCUGGUAUUCUACACAGUGUUUUGCUCAGCUACCAUCGGACACUCUCGAAUGAAAUGAUCCUUUGAACCGCACUUAAAGCAAGACCGAUCAUGUAAUCUGCAAUCUCCAGGAUGCCAUUUCCCACAAUGCUUGUACUCUGAUCUAUUUUGUCGAACACUACCAACGCUAGCAACUGAAGUAGCUCGUGAACUCACAGGGGGUCGAUCUCGAUCAUACUUAGGAAACCCUGCAGUAGCUUUAGAUCGGCUAUGAUCCUCUCUGGAUUUCAUUGAGGUCGACUGGAAUGAUUUACUGAAUGAUCUUUUACGAGAAUCUCGAGCUUCAUAGCCAGCUUUCCUCUUCUCUUUACUGAGCUCCUUAACUUUACAAGGUCGUUCAACAAGUACUACGAACUCUUUUAUCUCAAGUAUACCAAAUAACAGUUUAAUAUCUUCAUCCAGCCCAUCUUCAAAUCUUUUACACAUGAUAGCUUCAGUCGAAAUACAUUCUCGAGCAUAUCUACUGAGUCUCACAAAUUUCCGCUCAUAUUCUAUCACUGUCAUACGACCCUGUUUCAAUUCAAGAAAUUCCUUAUGCUUCUGAUCAAUGAAUCUUUGGCUGAUGUAUUUCUUACAGAACUCAAUCUGAAAGAAUUCCCAGGUCACUCGCUCUUUCGGAACCACCGAUACUAGUGUAUUCCACCAGUGAUAUGCAGUGUCCCGUAGCAAAGAUAUGGCACAUUUCAAGUACUCAUCAGGGGUGCAAGAUAACUCAUCAAACACUCGAAUAGUAUUAUCAAGCCAGAAUUCAGCUUGCUCAGCAUCAUCAUCAUCAGUAGCUCUGAACUCUUCGACCCCGUGUUUUCAAAUUUAGUCAACAGGAGGCUUAAGUAAUCUCAUCGGAUCACUUACUUGAGGUAUAAUAGGAAUCGAAGGUGGAUUAGUCGGGGGUGGAGUUUGUUGUGCAACCGGAUUAGUUCGGACAUAUUGAGUAAACCAGUCAUUCAUCAUUUGGUAGAAGGCUUGUUUAGCCUCUCCCUCCUGGUUACUCGAGGUCGGUCGAGAAUCUACCAGCUCUGUCCCUUGUGUGGGAGCAGGCGCUAUACUCUCAACAUCAUCGACUACGGCUGGAUCGGGAUCCAUUACUAUACGAAAACACAUUUUUAGACAUCAGCAGUCAUCGCACUAUCUUGGUAUAAAAAUAUGGCAUGUAUAGCUAGACUCAUACAUGCUACAUUAGUCCAAGAAUCGAUUAAACCGUAGCUCUGAUACCAAUAAAAUGUAACACCCCUAACCCGUAUCCGUCGCCGAAUUAGGGUUACGAGGCAUUACUGAACAAAUACAACCAUUUUUAAAACCAACUGAUCACAAACAUGAAAAUUAAAUCAUUUUCACAUAGCUAUUUAUAAUUUACAAUCAACAUCUAACCAACAUCGUACUCAAACCUAUACAUGCCAUAAGAUCAAGUUCAAAUAUUUAACAAAAUACCAAAAGGGGUCGAAAGUGUGAUAGACUAUGCUGAUGAUCCCCGAGCUCGUAACGCAUCUCCAAAAUCUAUAAAAACAAAUGGACAAAAACAAUCAAAGUAAGCUUUUAUAGCUUAGUAAGUCUAUAGCAUAUCUAAAAUACAUAUAAAAGAAUCAUAUAAUUCUUAAAAUAAAUUUAUUGAAAUCACAAUUAUCAAUUAUAAUUACUAAUCGAACAUUGCUAUAUUAAGUCAUCUUGUUUAAAUCUAAAAGGAUGUGUAUUUAUCUAAUACACAUGAACGGACAAAUGUAUAUACAUUAUAUGCAUAUAAUCAAUUUACUAACAUAAUCAUUAAUUGCAUAUACGGAUUUCUAUAGUACUUAUUGUUCGCACUUAAUCGGAUCCAUUUAAAUAUAAUUGUUCAAAUACAUAUACCAAAAGCAUAAUAAUUUUAUACUUGAUCAACUAUAAGUGCCGAAUGCACAUAUACACCUAUACCCACCUAUGCCGAAUGCAUACAUAUAUACACAUAUAUAUAUAUCCAACAAUUUCGUGACAACCGAUAUAUAUAUACAUACUCACUAUUCACAAGGACUCGAACGAUUAUAUACUCAUCAACCACCUUAAAACAAUGUUCAUAAACUUAUCCAUUUCAUAUAAACAAAAGCAUAUAUAUUUAUACCCAAUGCAUAGAAUCACUUAAUUUAAACAGAUUCACUAGCACUUCACCUGAUAGGCUUAUAGUUUAAUUCAGUUCACCGGUACUUAGCCUACUAGGCUUGUAGCCUGAUUCAGUUCACCGGCACUUAGCCUGCUAGACGUAUAGUCCGAUUCAAUUCACCGGCAUUUAGCCUGCUAGACGUAUAGUCCGAUUCAAUUUAUCGGCACUUAGCCUGCUAGAUGUAUAGUCUGAAUAAUUUUACUGGUAAUAAAUCCGAUAGUCAUUUCUCCGUUGAAAUUGAAUUAUAUUCAAUUCUGCGUAACAAACAUGCACUUAAAACAUACUUGCAUAAUUCACAACAAUAAUUUCAGUCCAAAGAGCUGUAAUUCAUAUUCGAACUAUAUAUAUAAAUCCAUACAUAAAAAUUCAGCUCAAAAUUUAUAACCUAUAUCUUUGAACCACAUAGGUACAUGAAAUUCAAACAACAAAAUCCAGCUCAAUAACUUCAUGAUUCAACCUAACAAAUUUAUGUAUAUAACUUUUUAUCUAAUUUCAAUACAAUAACUUAUACAUGUACGUAUAUACAUAUUCGAAUCUAACAUAUACAUAUAUAAUUUCAUACUUAAAUAUAUUCAAGACUUAUUCAUGAGUAUACAUAUAUAUUACAACUCACAUGUACAUAUAUAUACACAUUCAUACCUUUAACCAAGUCCAAGGCUUUAUACAUGUAUAUGCUUAUAUAUAUAUAUAUUCGGACCUUAUGUUUACAUAUAUAUUAUAUAUAAAUACCUUUGAUUAAAAACAAGUAUUUAUACAUAUAUAUAUUUUUGAACAUGAUACAUAUAUAUAUUUAUAUCAUUCAUACUUAAACAAAAUUCAAUCCAUAUACUUUCAAUUUCAGCUCACCAAAUUACUAUAGAUAUACAUGCAUAUAUACUGAUUUAAUAACCUCAAAUUGCUAAUAGACUUACCUCGGAUAUCAGCGGACACGAUCGACUAUUCGAUUACUUUCGUUUUUCCCCGAUCCAAAUUCGUUUUCUUCGUUUUUUUAUCUUAAUUAGACCUAGAGAUAGCCGAACCUUGUUGUUCUCUUUUCUUUUCUUUUCUUUUUCUUUUCUAUAUUCGGCCAAGAUGAAGAACAUGGCAUUUAAAAUUUGUUAUAUUAAACAUAUAUUAGCCUUAUUUUUAAUUUACUAUAUUAACCUUUACAUAUAUAUAUAACAUAUAUAAUAAGGUUACAUUAGUCCUUUGCCACCCACUAACUUACAUAGUGGACUAAUUGCAUAGUAAAACCUCUAAAUUAUAAAGACAACAACAAUUAGGUGCUUUUAUAAUUAACCCCUAAAUUUUCAUUUUACGCGAUUAAGCCCUUUUAUUAAAUCGGACACUUAAACGACGAAAUUAAAACACGAAAAUUUCACACAAUCAAAUGCAUACAAAAUAAUAUUAAUAAUAUUUUUCUAAUUCAAAUUUGUGGUCCCGAAACCAGUAUUCUGAUUAGGGUCAAAAACCGGGUUGUUACAACUCUCCCCCCUUAGAGAUUUUCGUCCCCGAAAAUCUUACCGGUGAAUAGGUUUGGAUAACGCUCUUUCAUUGUAUCUUCUGACUCCCAAGUUGCUUCUUCAACCCCAUGUUUAUGCCACAACACUUUAACUAACGGAAUUUUCUUAUUUCGUAAUUCUUUGAUCUCACGAGCAAGAAUGCUAAUCGGUUCUUCCUCAUAUGUCAUAUCAGAGUUAAUUUCAAUCUCCGUCGGACUAAUCACAUGUGAAGGAUCAGAUCGGUAUCUACGGAGCAUCGAAACAUGGAAUACGUUAUGAAUCUUUUCUAACUCAGGCAGUAACAUCAAUCUAUAAGCAACCAAUCCAACUCGCUCUAUAAUCUCAUACGGUCCAAUUAAUCUCGGACACAAUUUGCCUUUACGACCAAAUCUGAGUAUUUUCUUCCACGGUGAGACUUUUAACUUGCUCGGUGUCAACGGUAAAUCGGAUACAAAAUCCAUCGUGACUCGAUCCCAUUUCCAUUGAGGUAUCAUGAUCGGCUGAAGCAAUCCAGAUGGUACCUGAUGCUCGGCUUUAACUUGCUGACAAAUUAAACAUUUCGAAACAAAGUCAGAAAUGUCUCGUUUCAUACCUUGCCACCAAUAGUGCUGUUUUAGAUCGUUAUACAUUUUCGUGCUACCCGGAUGAACAGAAAAUCGAAUACUAUGAGCUUCCUUCAAAAUCAUCUGAAUUAACUCUGAAUUUUUCGGAACACAUAAUCGGUUUCUAAAUCUCAAACAAUCCUCAGCAUCAACUAAAAACUCCGAAUCAAUAUUUAAGUCACAUUGAGCUCGUUUUGCAGUUAAAUCAUUAUCAACCUUUUGAGCUUCACAAAUCUGUUGUACAAAUAACAGUUUUGCUUUCAACUCAGCUACUAUCGCACCAUCAUCAGACAUAACCAUAUGUGCGUUCAUUGCACGCAAAGCAAACAGUGAUUUUCGACUUAGGGCAUCAGCAACAACAUUAGCCUUUCCCGGAUGAUAGUCAAUCACAAGCUCGUAAUCUUUCAGCAAUUCUAACCAUCGACGCUGUCUCAAAUUCAGAUAUUUCUGAGUCAUCAAAUAUUUCAGGCUUUUGGGAUCGGAAUAAACAUGACAUCUUUCGCCAAACAGAUAGUGACGCCAUAUUUUUAACGCAAAUACAAUAGCGGCCAAUUCCAGAUCAUGCGUCGGAUAGUUUUUUUCAUGCGGCUUUAACUGUCUCAAGGCAUAGGCUACAACUUUGCCUUCCUACAUCAAAACACAACCCAAACCAUUUAAAGAUGCAUCACUAUAGAUAACAAACUCUUUACCCGAUUCGGGUUGAACUAGGACUGGAGCUUCGGUCAAAAGAACUUUCAACUGAUCAAAGUUUUUCUGACACUUUUCUGACCACUCGAACUUAACGUCUUUUUGUAGUAGCUUUGUCAUCGGGGUCGCAAUCAUAGAAAACCCUUUCACGAACCGUCUAUAAUAACCAGCGAGCCCCAGAAAGCUUCGAACAUCAGAGACAUUUCUCGGAGGUUUCCAAUCAAGUAUAGCUGAAAUUUUACUUGGAUCAACCUGAAUACCCGAUGCUGACACAACAUGGCCCAGAAAACUAACUUCACGUAACCAGAACUCGAAUUUACUGAACUUUGCAUACAACUGUUUAUCUCGCAAAGUUUGUAACACAAGUCUCAGAUGUUCAGUAUGCUCGGUUUCAUCACGAGAGUAGAUCAAAAUAUCAUCUAUAAAUACUACCACAAACAGAUCCAGAUACUGUCUAAAAAUCUGAUUCAUCAAAUCCAUGAAAACAGCAGGUGCAUUAGUAAGUCCAAAAGGCAUAACCAAGAACUCAUAAUGUCCGUACCUCGUUCGGAAAGCAGUCUUUGGCACAUCAGAGUCUUUAACUCGCAACUGAUAGUAGCCUGAUCUCAGAUCUAUCUUCGAAAACACAGUAGCCCCUUUCAACUGAUCGAACAAAUCAUCAAUCCGUGGUAACGGAUACUUAUUCUUUAUAGUCACCUUAUUGAGUUGCCGGUAAUCAAUGCACAUUCUCAUUGUUCCGUCUUUCUUUUUCACAAAUAGAACUGGUGCACCCCAAGGAGAGAAACUCGGUCGUGCAAAACCUUUAUCAGUCAACUCUUGCAACUGUACUUUCAAUUCUUUUAAUUCAGUCGGUGCCAUACGGUACGGAGCUAUCGAAAUUGGAGUUGUCCCUGGUACUAACUCAAUACCAAACUCUACCUCUCGAAUAGGUGGCAAACCCGGUAAUUCUUCGGGAAACACGUCUGAAUACUUACACACUACUGGCACAGAUUCAAUCUUCUUUUCGAUCACUUUACUAUCAAGAAAAAAUGCAAGGUAAUCUUCACAACCUUUUCUCACAUACUUUUUUGCCGACAUCGAGGAUAUUAUUGCUGGUAAACCAUUCAGAUCAUUAGAUUCAAUCCGAAUAAUCUCAUCAUUCUGACACCGUAGAUCAAUAGUUUUCCGUUUGCAGUUUACUAUAGCAUCAUGCAGAGUUAACCAAUCCAUACCCAGAAUUAUAUCAAACUCGUCAAAUGGUAGCAACAUCAAAUCAGCCAGAAAACAUAAAUCUCGAAUCAUCAACGGACAAUUCUUGCAUAUUUUGUCAACCAAAACACACCGGCCCAGGGGGUUCAAUACUUUAAUUACAAACUCAGUAGACUCAACAGGCAAAGUCUUACUGAAUACUAAAGUCUCACACACAUAAGAAUGAGUCGAACCAAGAUCAAUCAAUGCAAUAACAUUAGUAUCAUAAAGAGGGAAAGUACCAGUAAUAACAUCUGGAGAAGAAGCCUCCUCUUGAGCACGGAUGGCAUAUGCUCUGGCAAGUGCACGAGCCUCAGAUCGAACUGCCAUGUCCUUUGUUCCUCUCUGACUGCCACUUACAUUACUCAAUUGCCUCGGUGGUCUACCUCGUACUGGCACUUUACUCGGUCUGGUAUUCUGCACAGUGUUUUGCUCAGCUACCAUCGGACACUCUCGAAUGAAAUGAUCCUUUGAACCGCACUUAAAGCAAGACCGAUCAUGUAAUCUGCAAUCUCCAGGAUGCCAUUUCCCACAAUACUUGUACUCUGAUCUAUUUUGUCGAACACUACCAACGCUAGCAACUGAAGUAGCUCGUGAACUCACAGGGGGUCGAUCUCGAUCAUACUUAGGAAACCCUGCAGUAGCUUUAGAUCGGCUAUGAUCCUCUCUGGAUUUCAUUGAGGUCGACUGGAAUGAUUUACUGAAUAAUCUUUUACGAGAAUCUCGAGCUUCAUAGCCAGCUUUCCUCUUCUCUUUCCCGAGCUCCUCAACUUUACAAGGUCGUUCAACAAGUACUACGAACUCUUUUAUCUCAAGUAUACCAAAUAACAGUUUAAUAUCUUCAUCCAGCCCAUCUUCAAAUCUUUUACACAUGAUAGCUUCAGUCGAAAUACAUUCUCGAGCAUAUCUACUGAGUCUCACAAAUUUCCGCUCAUAUUCUAUCACUGUCAUACGACCCUGUUUCAAUUUAAGAAAUUACUUACGCUUCUGAUCAAUGAAUCUUUGGCUGAUGUAUUUCUUACAGAACUCAAUCUGAAAGAAUUCCCAGGUCACUCGCUCUUUCGGAACCACCGAUACUAGUGUAUUCCACCAGUGAUAUGCAGUGUCCCGUGGCAAAGAUAUGGCACAUUUCAAGUACUCAUCAGGGGUGCAAGAUAACUCAUCAAACACUCGAAUAGUAUUAUCAAGCCAGAAUUCAUCUCGCUCAGCAUCAUCAUCAUCAGUAGCUCUGAACUCUUCGACCCCGUGUUUUUGAAUUUUGUCAAUAGGAGGCUUAAGUAAUCUCAUCGGAUCACUUACUUGAGGUAUAACAGGAAUCGAAGGUGGAUUAGUCGGGGGUGGAGUUUGUUGUGCAACCGGAUUAGUUCGGACAUAUUGAGUAAACCAGUCAUUCAUCAUUUGGUAGAAGGCUUGUUUAGCCUCUCCCUCCUGGUUACUCGAGGUCGGUCGAGAAUCUACCGGCUCUGUCCCUUGUGUGGGAGCAGGCGCUAUACCCUCAACAUCAUCGACUACGGCUCGAUCGGGAUCCAUUACUAUACGAAAACACAUUUUUAGACAUCAGCAGUCAUCACACUAUCUUGGUAUAAAAAUAUGGCAUGUAUAGCUAGACUCAUACAUGCUACAUUAGUCCAAGAAUCGAUUAAACCGUAGCUCUGAUACCAAUAAAAUGUAACACCCCUAACCCGUAUCCGUCGCCGAAUUAGGGUUACGAGGCAUUACUGAACAAAUACAACCAUUUUUAAAACCAACUGAUCACAAACAUGAAAAUUAAAUCAUUUUCACAUAGCUAUUUAUAAUUUACAAUCAACAUCUAACCAACAUCGUACUCAAACCUAUACAUGCCAUAAGAUCAAGUUCAAAUAUUUAACAAAAUACCAAAAGGGGUCAAAAGUGUGAUAGACUAUGCUGAUGAUCCCCGAGCUCGUAACGCGUCUCCAAAAUCUAUAAAAACAAAUGGACAAAAACAAUCAAAGUAAGCUUUUAUAGCUUAGUAAGUCUAUAGCAUAUCUAAAAUACAUAUAAAAGAAUCAUAUAAUUCUUAAAAUAAAUUUAUUGAAAUCACAAUUAUCAAUUAUAAUUACUAAUCGAACAUUGCUAUAUUAAGUCAUCUUGUUUAAAUCUAAAAGGAUGUGUAUUUAUCUAAUACACAUGAACGGACAAAUGUAUAUACAUUAUAUGCAUAUAAUCAAUUUACUAACAUAAUCAUUAAUUGCAUAUACGGAUUUCUAUAGUACUUAUUGUUCGCACUUCAUCGGAUCCAUUUAAAUAUAAUUGUUCAAAUACAUAUACCAAAAGCAUAAUAAUUUUAUACUUGAUCAACUAUAAGUGCCGAAUGCACAUAUACACCUAUACCCACCUAUGCCGAAUGCAUACAUAUAUACACAUAUAUAUAUAUCCAACAAUUUCAUGACAACCGAUAUAUAUAUACAUACUCACUAUUCACAAGGACUCGAACGAUUAUAUACUCAUCAACCACCUUAAAACAAUGUUCAUAAACUUAUCCAUUUCAUAUAAACAAAAGCAUAUAUAUUUAUACCCAAUGCAUAGAAUCACUUAAUUUAAACAGAUUCACUGGCACUUCACCUGAUAGGCUUAUAGUUUAAUUCAGUUCACCGGCACUUAGCCUACUAGGCUUGUAGCCUGAUUCAGUUCACCGGCACUUAGCCUGCUAGACGUAUAGUCCGAUUCAAUUCACCGGCAUUUAGCCUGCUAGACGUAUAGUCCGAUUCAAUUUACCGGCACUUAGCCUGCUAGAUGUAUAGUCUGAAUAAUUUUACUGGUAAUAAAUCCGAUAGUCAUUUCUCCGUUGAAAUUGAAUUAUAUUCAAUUCUGCGUAACAAACAUGCACUUAAAACAUACUUGCAUAAUUCACAACAAUAAUUUCAGUCCAAAGAGCUGUAAUUCAUAUUCGAACUAUAUAUAUAUAAAUCCAUACAUAAAAAUUCAGCUCAAAAUUUAUAACCUAUAUCUUUGAACCACAUAGGUACAUGAAAUUCAAACAACAAAAUCCAGCUCAAUAACUUCAUGAUUCAACCUAACAAAUUUAUGUAUAUAACUUUUUAUCUAAUUUCAAUACAAUAACUUAUACAUGUACGUAUAUACAUAUUUGAAUCUAACAUAUACAUAUAUAAUUUCAUACUUAAAUAUAUUCAAGACUUAUUCAUGAGUAUACAUAUAUAUUACAACUCACAUGUACAUAUAUAUACACAUUCAUACCUUUAACCAAGUCCAAGGCUUUAUACAUGUAUAUGCUUAUAUAUAUAUAUAUUCGGACCUUAUGUUUACAUAUAUAUUAUAUAUAAAUACCUUUGAUUAAAAACAAGUAUUUAUACAUAUAUAUAUUUUCGAACAUGAUACAUACAUAUAUUUAUAUCAUUCAUACUUAAACAAAAUUCAAUCCAUAUACUUUCAAUUUCAGCUCACCAAAUUACUAUAGAUAUACAUGCAUAUAUACUGAUUUAAUAACCUCAAAUUGCUAAUAGACUUACCUCGGAUAUCAGCGGACACGAUCGACUAUUCGAUUACUUUCGUUUUUCCCCGAUCCAAAUUCGUUUUCUUCGUUUUUUUAUCUUAAUUAGACCUAGAGAUAGCCGAACCUUGUUGUUCUCUUUUCUUUUCUUUUCUUUUUCUUUUCUAUAUUCGGCCAAGAUGAAGAACAUGGCAUUUAAAAUUUGUUAUAUUAAACAUAUAUUAGCCUUAUUUUUAAUUUACUAUAUUAACCUUUACAUAUAUAUAACAUAUAUAAUAAGGUUACAUUAGUCCUUUGCCACCCACUAACUUACAUAGUGGACUAAUUGCAUAGUAAAACCUCUAAAUUAUAAAGACAACAACAAUUAGGUGCUUUUAUAAUUAACCCCUAAAUUUUCAUUUUACGCGAUUAAGCCCUUUUAUUAAAUCGGACACUUAAACAACGAAAUUAAAACACGAAAAUUUCACACAAUCAAAUGCAUACAAAAUAAUAUUAAUAAUAUUUUUCUAAUUCAAAUUUGUGGUCCCGAAACCAGUAUUCUGAUUAGGGUCAAAAACUGGGUUGUUACAACUCUCCCCCCUUAGGGAUUUUCGUCCCCGAAAAUCUUACCGGUGAAUAGGUUUGGAUAACGCUCUUUCAUUGUAUCUUCUGACUCCCAAGUUGCUUCUUCAACCCCAUGUUUAUGCCACAACACUUUAACUAACGGAAUUUUCUUAUUUCGUAAUUCUUUGAUCUCACGAGCCAGAAUGCUAAUCGGUUCUUCCUCAUAUGUCAUAUCAGAGUUAAUUUCAAUCUCCGUCGGACUAAUCACAUGUGAAGGAUCAGAUCGGUAUCCACAGAGCAUUGAAACAUGGAAUACGUUAUGAAUCUUUUCUAACUCAGGCAGUAACAUCAAUCUAUAACCAACCGAUCCAACUCGCUCUAUAAUCUCAUACGGUCCAAUGAAUCUCGGACUCAAUUUGCCUUUACGACCAAAUCUGAGUAUUUUCUUCCACGGUGAGACUUUUAAAAACACUUUAUCCCCGAUCUGAAAUUCUAUAUCCUUUCUUUUCAAAUCCGCAUAAGAUUUCUGACGAUCCGGUGCUGAUUUCAGACUGUCCCGAAUCACUUUCACUUUCUGUUCGGUCUCUUUAAUCAAAUCAACCCCGUGUAUCUUAUUUUCACUGAGCUCAGUCCAAUACAGUGGUGUACGACAUUUACGACCGUACAAAGCCUCAUAAGGUGCCAUUUUGAUACUAGAUUGAAAGCUAUUAUUAUAAGCAAAUUCAAUCAAAGGUAAGUAUCGUUCCCACGUACCUUCAAACUCGAGAAUGCAACAUCUCAACAUAUCCUCAAGUAUCUGAAUGAUUCGUUCAGAUUGACCAUCUGUCUGCGGAUGGAAAGCUGUGCUAAAAUGUAGUUUCGUACCUAAAGCUGUGCUAAAAUGCACACAAAAUAAACACACAAAAUAAUAUUAAUAAUAUUUUUCUAAUUCGGAUUUGUGGUCCCGAAACCACUAUUCCGAUUAGGGUCAAAAACCGGGUUGUUACAAUUCUGCUUCUUCUGCAUCAUCAUCUUUGGUAGCUCGAAAUUCUUCAGCCCCUUACUUCCUAAUCUUAUCAACAGGUGGUCUCUCACUGAUGACUAUACCUGCAGCUAGGGAAACUACAUGAGGAACCUGUGAAUCCUGAAGGGGUGGAGGUCUUACACCCGGAUUCAUACGAACGAACUCGGCAAACCAAUCAUUCAUGGCUUGGAAGAAGGCUUCUCUAGCUCCUCCUCCCUGUCUAACUGAUGCAGGUCUUUCACUAACGUUAACAUCUAGUGGCACCGUCCUUUCUGCGGAAGUAGGCGCAUUACUCUCUACUUCAUCUGCACCAGCUCGUUCAGGAUCCGUAACUAUAAAAUAAAAUAUUUUAAAAUCGUCAAGAGUCGUCACACUAUCAAAAUAUAUAAGUAUGGCAUGUAUAGGUAGACUUUUAUUCAUACUGCAUAUUUCUGAGAACCGAUUAAACCUGCUCUGAUACCAACAAAUGUAACACCCCUUACCCAAGACCAUUUUCGGAGUCGAGCACGAGGCAUUACUUAUCUUAUCUUACUAACUCGAAGCAUAAAAACUUAUUUUAAAAAUUAAUUUCACUAUUUACAGCAAUCUGUCCAAUCGAGCAGCAGUUACUAAAUUAAUAAUAACUCGAGCUACGGAACUUGAAAUUUAACUUCGUAAAUUUUCACUGAAACUAGACUCAUAUAUCUUCCUACCAUAAAGUUUUUAGGAUUUUUUGUUUAGCCAACUAGUACAGUUUAUUAGUCAAAUUCUCCCCUGUUUCACCAAUCGAUUGCCUUGACCUCUUAUCACUAAAAAUAAAAUUUCUCAAUGUGGGAUUUUCGUAUAGUGCUACUGCUUGCUUCUACAAAAAAUAGACUCAAUAAGGAAUCUAUAAAUAUAAACUACAGCUCCUAAAUAUUUUUUUAAAAAUUUUAAUGAUUUUCUAAACUCAAAAUAGGGGUCACCAAAAACUGUUCUAACCCUGUCUCACCAAAAUUCACAUAUCUUAAAAUAUAAAAUUCAUUUUGCUACACCGUUAUUUUUAUCUGAAAAUAGACUCAACAAGAUUUAAAUUCAUAUAUCAUUCACUCUUUAAUUCAUUUUAUACUAUCCUAGGUGAUAUUUCAAAGUCACGUCGUUGUUGCUGCCUGAAUUCUGUUUCUUUGCAAAAUUGUACCAUUUUAUGAUUUCCAUGCAUAGUUUAUCACUUACACUCUUAUAACAACAAACACUUCCAUACUUCACCAUUUUAGCAACCAUUCAUCAUCAACUACUUACAUAUCAUUCUUUAUCAAGAUCAUAAAUACAAACAUUUAAAAUAACUAAAUCCCUAUACAUUCCAUACUCAACAUGGUUCAACAUAAAAAUACCGAGUUGCUGUGGCUGAUAGUGUGGACGAUCUCCGACUUCUUUAGGAUCCUUGAAGUAACCUUGCAAUACUAUAAGAGAAAGAGAAAUAAAAGACGUAAGCAUAAAGCUUAGUAAGUUUACUAGCAAAUAAAUAACAAUAUUUAACUCAGAUAAUUAAACUCAAGUGUCUAUAUCUCUAGUUUACUCUUUAGUUAAUCCCAUUCUAGUUCUCUUGCUUGUUUACUUAGUAUACUUGUGUGCAUAACUUAAUCUUCUCUUGCUGUAUCGUUGAAUAUCAAUUGAUAAUAUAAUAAGUUCUUAACUCUUAUAACUUACCUGAACUUGCCAUUUAUGUUUUUAACUGAACUUUCCUGAACAUGAUUCGUUAUUUAGCCCGUUGAGCUACAUUGGAACAAUAAGGAUACUCGGGUCUCUUCUGAUAAUAACAUGCCAAAGCCAUGUCCCAGACAUGGUCUUACAUGGGAUGUACUCAUGUCGGUGCCCAUUCCAUGUCCCAGACAUGGUCUUACGGGGGACCUCUCAUCUCGGUGCCAAUGUCAUGUCUCAGACAUGGUCUUACAUGGGACCUCUCAUCUCGGUGCCAACACCAUGUCCCAGACAUUGUCUUACAUGGGACCUCUCAUUUCGGUGCCAACGCCAUGUCCCAGACAUGGUCUUACAUGGGACCUCUUUAUCCAAAUGUCAUGACAUUCGUAUCCAGUAUUAUCCUUAUGUAUCAACGGGACUUUUUAAUUUUAAUUCUCUAUCAUUUCAUGCUUGGAUAAUCAUCAAAUAAAUUCAUGAAAUAAAUUCAUAGUUGCUGGAAAAUAGCAGCAUUAAUAAAAAUUAUUGAAAUAUUUCAUUUAUUUACCGUAAACUUACCUUGGUACCGAAUAUAGCCCAAUUCACCAACUUAGUCUUCAACUUUAUUCUUUCCUUUGUCUAACCUCGAGUUUCAUUCUUCUUGAUCUAAAAUAGAAAAUUUAACUUAUUUAAUACUCACAUUCAUCAAAACAGCCCUCGACUCUAACUUUUCAAAAUUAUGAUUUUGCCCCUAAACUUUUACAUAAUUACAUUUUUCCCCAAGGCUCGAAAAUUCAACUUCAUCUCAUAUUCUUAUGUUUUAUGGCAUGCUGAAUAUUUUUCUCUUCUAUGACAAUAUCAAAUUCUCACUCUAACACUUACUUAUGUACAUUAGAGAUUUUUACCGAUUAUGUCAACUUACUCGUUUUUGCUUAAAAUCGGCUAACAAAAGUUGUUUAACAUAAUUUAUAGCUUCAUAUUCUAUCAUAAAACAUCAAAAUAAACACUUUUCACCUAUGGGUAUUUUUCCAAAUAUAAACCCUAGGUUAAAUUAUUGCUAGAAUAAGCUAAAUUAAGUUACCGGGACUCCAAAAACGUAAGGAACAUUAAAAACGGGGCUUGGGAUCACUUACUAUGGAGCUUGGAAGCUUGAAAACCCUAAAUAUGGCUUACCCCCUUGCUGAUUUCGUCCAAAUGAAGAAGAUGAGCAUAAUUUGUCAUCUUUUUCCCUUUUAAUUCAUUUUAAUUACUAGAUUACCAAAUUGCCCCUAACUUAAAAAUUUCCUAUUUCACUUAUCUCAUGUCCAUUUUUGUCUAAAAACUUAACCAAUGGUCUAAUUACCAUAUAAAGACCUCCAAUUUAAAGUUUCAUAACAAUUGGACACCUCUAACAUGUAGAACUCAACUUUUGCACUUUUUGCAAUUUAGUACUUUUGACUAAAUUGAGUGCCCAAACUUCAAAAUUUUCGAAUAAAAUUUUCAUGAAAUCAUUUUGUGAAAUCAUAGACCAUAAAAAUAUAAGAAAAAUAAAAUUUUCCUCAUCGGAUUUGUGAUCCCGAAACCACUGUUCCGAUAAUCUUAAAUUUGGGCCAUUACAUGAUCACCUUUUUACUAGCUCAUACAUCUCCUACAUCAGACCUUACAUGCAUGCUUACCAAACUUUAUUCUUUUUAACAAAACUUUAUACAUAUCAUCGUAGCACAUCUUUCAUCUUUACUAAACUCAUAUUUUUACCAAUUUCUGUAGACAUCAUCAUCAUCAUCCUAUAUAUAUGCUUCUUGUUUGAACAGUUCAUAUCAAAGAGUCAAGAUAGAGACCCACUUGACACUCACCUACUGCAGUUCAAAGCUCUAAACUUAACCAUCCUUCUCAAACCAGCAGUAAAAACUGCUUAUAGAACAUAGAAUCACCAUUAAAAACCCAUUUACAUACAAAUUACUAUCAUCUUAAUCACUUUUCCACUGUUAAUUUAUAAAUAAGUGUUAAGUAGUAAAUAAAUAAAAAAAUUAACUAAGUUUUCAAAAAAAAAGUCACUGUGACGAGAAGAAUGUUAAAAUUAAUUGGUGUUUGUUAACUCAUAUGUUUUUCUAAAAAUGGGUUAAGUUUUCUUCUGAAAUAAACAAAUGUUUUAAAAUGAUUGUUUUAUAAACUCCGAUCGUACUAUCCCAUCUUGGUGGCUGAUGUAAUAUCCCAAAUUCAGGUCUAACAUCUAAGUCGGGUUGGAUAGGUUACAAUAUAUAUAGAAAGAUUGAUAAAUAAUGCAAACUUGAAUACAAGCAAAGAAAGAAAUCAAUCAAUGUGAAUGACUAACAAGUUUAAAAUCAUAUAUUUGCAUUAUAUUUUGUAAAGCACAAGAUUGUCAUGGAAUUAGACAAUUUGUUUUGAUAAUGGUUAUAUUUUAUAUAGAUUUACUUUUAUGCACUUUCAUAUUGAGUUGAUCAAAAGUUUUGAAACUUUAUAGAAAAUUUGAAUGAAAGAGCAUAUUGAUAUAUAUGCUAUCUUGAGUGUUGAAUUAAGCAUUCUUUAGUAAAAGAGUGUACAUUUCGCACAUGGUAGGUGUGUUGGUUUCUUAUAUAUUAAUUAAGCACAAAUUAAAGAAAAAUAAUAUAUAUCACCAUAGUGUUGUAAUAUUUUGUAUAAUUUGUGAAAUUAUACAAGCAAAUAAGUUUACCUAUCUUGUUAAAUAAAACUCAUUAAGUUGGUUCUUAAUCUUGAAGAAUUAAAUAGGUUGGCUUCUUUAUUCAUUUUAUCCAACUACAAGUUAGAUUAAAGUUGUGGAAAUAGAAUGGUUGAAAAUUUGUGUUAAUGAGAAUUAGAGUUAUGGCCACAACUGAUGCCAACUAUUUCCUAAAAACAGGGAAUGAUGUCCAAAAACAUGCUGUAAAAUAAAAAUUUGGACAUGUUAGAAUAUGAAUUUAUUAUAUUAUAGUUUCAAUGUAAUACCCUUAUCCCAUCUCUGUUGCCGGAUUAGGAUUUCAGAGUAUUACUGAGAAAAAUAGAACAUUUAACUUUCCAACAGAAACAAUUGUACAAUUAAAUACCAACAUAUAACAAUUGAAUCUAAUCAUGGCAAAUAUUACACUUUUGGACCUUGAAUCGAGCCUAUGGGGCCCUAGAAACAGUUUAGGAACAAUCUGGGAUCAAAUCAAAACAAAUCAGAACAUUUUGAAAAAACAUAAAAAUUUAGGAAUACAGAGGUCACAGGCCAUAUGGCCAAGUCGUGUGACAUAGCCUAGAUUGUGUAAACAUCCGAAGUCAGGACACAUAGCUGUGUCCCAGCCUGUGUGUCUACUCAUGUGUAUAUUUGAAAUAGGGUCACACAGUCGUGUUGCAGACUGCCAAACGUGUGUGUAUUCAAAGUGAGGUCGCAAGACCAUGUGGCCGACCGUGCCACAAACUGUUUUGAGACACAAGGUCAUGUCUCAGACCGUGUAAAACAUGCACUUAAAAUAAUAAAUACACACGACCGUAUCUAGUGACUAUGUGUGGCACAUGGUCGUGUGGUAGCUUGUGUCUCAGGUCGUGUGCUCCAUUUUUAACCCCUAAAUCAAGCCAAUCAAGCAUCAUUUCUUAUACAACAAGACAUACCAUAUCUAACUAAUUUUACAUGGUUAAAAACACAUUCAAAUCAACAAAUACAUGCCAAAAUUUCGUUCAUCCUAUGUCUAACCAAUAUGCCAUCAAAAGGCACCUCAAUCCAUACAUCCAUUCAACUCAAGAACAAAGUUACAAUAAAUGAACAAGUUUUAUCAUUAGUUAACCAUUCAUGCCUAAAACCACUAAUCUAAUUGACCAAAAUAUGGGCAUACUCAACAAGCAACCAUUUCAAAACAUCAUCAUCAAAUCUUUAUAUACCAUUUAUGAUCAACUUAAUUAUAUUCAACACAAGUACACAUCCAAAAUCAAGCACAUCACUAAGUAUGCCAAAAUAACUUAACUAUUUACAUAUCAACAAUAAGACACCAUAUCCCAAAAUGAAAUAAAAAAGCUACCAAGAUGGUUGGAUAGUGUGUGCUCCAAAACAAUUCAUCCGGUUAGUCCACAAAACGCCAAAUCAACCAAUAUAGAUAAACAAAAAGGUAAGUUCUAAUUCUUGAUAUUCAAAUGCAAGAUCACACCACAUUAGUAUAUAUUUAUUUACAUCAUAAAUGAUACCUUCCAAAAUUCAUAACCAAUUCAUCAUCCACAAUUUCUCAAUACAACCAUUAAUAUUUAUAAACAAGAACUUCAUAGUAACAUUUAUCAUUUAGUAGUAAUAUAAUUAUCCAACAAAAUUGAACAAAUAAAUGCGUUUUAAGUCAUUUGAUACAUAGCCUGCUGAACUAUAGUAACUUGACUCGGAUACUCAUGAUACUACAUCACACCAAAGGUAUCAAUGAUGCAUAACAGAGGCACCGAAGUGCAGACAAAUGCAUGAAUGUGCAAUCAGAGGCACCGAAGUGAAAACAGAUGCACCAAAGUACAAACCCGUACGAGUGCGCAUUAAAACCCUAUUGGCAUGCUAAUCGUAUCCUAAUUGUUUACUACGUUCAACUGGGCAUUAUACUUAAAAUCAUAAUAUCAAUAAAUCCAUCAUUUAGAGGCACUUCUUAUUUCCGUACACAUACUAUAAAUAUGUAACUUUCAUUUCAAUAAUAUGCAAUAACAAUAAUUACCAUCAUCAAACAUUCAUUUUCUAUUUGUACUUAAUUGCAAAAUUUAAUAAUAUAUAAGUAACUCAUGAAAUUUCACAUAUAUACCAUUAACUAGAAAACAAUAAUAUAAUCAUAAAGUGACACACAUAUACAUAUUAUUACACUAUGAACUUACCUAAAAUCUACUUUCGAUUAAUACACAGGGACUACUCCGCUAUUUUUUCCCUUUUCUCGGUUAUUGUCUUUUUGACUCGGUUCUUGAUCUAUAUAGUAAUUAAAUUCAAUUUAUGAAAUUCACAUACAUUUAAAACUCAAUUCAAUGCAUGAUACCCUUAUGUUUUCAUUAUUUUCACAUUUUUCUUAAACUUUUACAUUUCUCACAAUUUAGUCCCUACAAAAUUUAACAAAAUUUUACAAUUUUCCAUGUUAGUUGAACUUCUUUCGAAACUAGUACAAUCCCUAAUUAUUCACAAUUCACAAAAUUUCUAUGCAAAUUUUAAUAAUUCACACAUUGAUCAUUAAACUCAAAAUUAACACAAAUUUUUUUACAAAAAUAUCCUAAUCAACAUUCAAAUAUGUACAACUACCAUUAAAAAUCAUGAACACCAAAAUUCCAUUACUAACCAAUCCCUAAAACUUUAACAUUUUUAUAAUUCCAUCCUCGGGUUUAAUAGUUUAAGUUACAACGAGUUCAAAAACGUAAAAAUUAUUAAAAACAGGUAAGAGAAACACUUACAUGCACCAAUUUGCUAACCGAAACUUCAAGCUCCAAAAAUGGAGUUUUUUUUUUCUUUUUCGGUGGGAGAGAGUUGAGAAGAUGAUGAUACCAUUUUUUUCUUUUGUUUCUUUUCUUUAAUCAAACUAAUUACUAAAUUAUCCUUUUAAUCUAAACUAAAUUAUUAACAUAGCAUGUCCGUAAUUAUCCAUUAACUAACCAUAAGGUUUAUCUAUCAACCAAGUCCAUUACUUUAGUUUUUCUUUAAAAAUCAAGCACAUUUAACAAAUAGAAGCCACUUUAGCAUCUUUUACAAUUUAGACCUUUUUACUAAAUUAACUAAACAGACAUUAAAAUUUCUUAGCCAAAUUUUAUUAUGACUCCAAUAUAACUCUAUAAGCAUAAAAUAAACAUAAAAUACUAACUCAUUUGUCGAAAUUGUGGUCCUGAAACCACCUUUUUUGAUACCACUGAAAAAUGAGAUAUUACAUUAAAUCUCUAAUUUAUGAUAAUGAAUGUGAGAGAAUAAUUUUCUUUGUUUAGAAAUACUAAUCAUUUUCUUUGUUUAGUAAUACUACAACUAGAAUGUGUUUCGACCCUAUUAUUAGAAACUAAUAAUGGAAACCCAACUUUUAAUUAGAAACCUCUAAUUUUAAAGUUUAAUAGGUAACACCCCGAAUUUUGGCCCUAGAAGAAAUAUGUUUUGAACAAGGGAACAGUUAGGAGACUGCACAUAAAUAUUUAGUUGUGCAAGGAAGUGACAUAAAUGAAUGUCUACUUCAGUGGUUGAGUGAUUUAGGAGUGUUUGGAACUGUCUGAGAAGUCAGGGAUUCAAGCAUUGCUUAUGCAAAAUUUUUAUUUUAAGUGAAUAAAAUCAUUGGAUCUAGAUAGUAAGUUCUUAAAUUAUUGUGGUUAAAAUAUGAUGCAAAAGAGUUGUUGGUCUAGUGGUAAGGGGUGUGUGGAGUGCACAUAGGGCCUAAGGUUCGAGUGGUGGCGCAUCAGAAAGGAAAUAUUUAUUUUGCUACUUGAGCUGUUUAGGUAGUGGAGUUGGACUGAAACACAACUAAGGGGAGUUUGCAUAGAAUUUGAAUGGAGUUGUUGGGGGAGUUGAGGAGAAACCGGUAGAAUAAUUUAAGGAGGGAUAAGGGGAGAGAUUUUAGGAGAAAAUCAAGGGAAGUGAGGGGAGUGAAGAAGUGUGCCGAAAGUGGACUUUGAUACUCAGGAAAUUUGGCCAGAAGGGAUACUGCUCAUUUUGGUAUACUUUUCAUUUCGGUUUUGUGUAGUGUUUCUCUCUCUUUUUGCUUUUUGGUGCCGAAUUUUUGCUAAGAUUUCGAGUACCACUCGGGUUUUUCUUUUGCUGCUUUUUUCUUUUAUCAUUUCUUUUGUUUUGGCCGAAUUUCUUUUUAGUUCCCUCCUUUGUCGAAUUCUUUUCUCUCUUCUCUUUGUUGCUUCUUUUCAUUUCUCUAUUUUUCCAAACCUUGACCGAACAGUGUUGAAGUAGUUCUGUGUUCCAUCUUUUGUCUAAAAUGCUCUUCUUCCUCUACUCCUUUUGAUCAACUAUUUGUCGAAUAUUGCCUUCUCUCCCCUUUUAUCUCUUUAAAUUUAUUUUCGGCUUGACAACAAUUCUCUAACAGUUCAAAUUUCUUGAGGAGUGAAAAAGUAUCGCAUAAUAUUAAAGUCAUCGAAACCUUUCUCUCAUCACUCGAUCAAAGGUAAGUAUGUAGGCUAGCAUUCUAAAGUGUAGGCUGAGUGCUUUCUAUGGUUUCAUAAGUUAUUAUGUUUGGAUUUAAACCACAUGAAUAAACAAUCCUAUUUAAUAAAAUCCGUUUGUAAUGCAGAUAUCCAUCAAAGAGAUUGUAGUCAACCUUCGUCAGUGAUAUAAGUAGGCUAAGUCACAUUUGACAAUCGAGGCUUUGGUGCUCGUGGAUCUUAGAGUGUUUUCACAAUCAGGUGUGUAAACACCCCACUGUAACCGUAGAACGACAAAAAGCUAAAAGGCCAAAAAUACGGUGUUUGAGACCACACAGGCGUGCGAUCUCUCAUGUGGUAAGCCCAACCCACAAAUCAUGGCCGAUAGACUGUAGAGGCCUCCAUGAACAUUUCCAUGGGCUUAGGCCGUAAUGGGCCACGUUGGGCCGAAAUGGGUCGUGUGGGUUCAAUAGGCUCGUGGGCACCAUACAGAUGAGAACCACGAUUUGUGAAAAAUACUGGACUGGGCUAUGAAGAUCUCAUAGCCGUGGAAAAAUCUGGGCUGAACAGGCCGCACAAGCGUGCGGGCCUACUUGGGCCGAGUAAUGGGCCUUAGGCCCAUUUGUACCAUUAUGACCAUUUAGGUUACCUGAGUCGCUCGAGGUAACUACGGACCUUUCGAGAGGUCGAUAUCUGCACCAAGACCCAAAAUAGGUAAAAUGAUCGAAAUACCCCUAUAGAGUAAAAUGACCGAAAUACCCCCAAAGGAUAAAAUGAUUGAAAUACCCCUAUAAGGUAAAACGAUCGAAAUACCCCCGUAGGAUAAAAUAACUAUUAUACCCCUAGAAGAUGAAAUGACUGUUAUGGCCUUAUGCUAUGUAUGACUGUUUUGCUCUAUGAUAUGUAUGACUAUGGUUGAGCAUGACAUUUUUCAUACACGUAUGAUAUUAUGUCAUGAUAUAUUGCAUGGGGAUGGAUUGUUAUAUUUGGAGGAAGUGUACUGUACUGACAAGGUUGCACGGGUCGCCCAAGACGACUGUGGACCUACUGAUGGCUAUAUGCCAUUUAUUUUACUGGCAGCUUUGCUGCAAUACUGUUUAAUGCUGCAACUGGUGCUAAUCUUGGUGUGUUUGGAUGGAUGGGUAGAUUUUAUCCCCCAUAUGGUGUGUUUGGCGGAACUGUAACACCCUUAACCUGAAUCCAUUCUGACAUUGUCUCACAAAAUUUAUUAUAUCUCAUAGUUUACAAUUUUAUUACUUACACCAUUUCUUCCAUGAGAAACUAGACUCAAUAAGUUUUAAUUCUAUAUUUUAUUCAUACUCUAAUUCGAUUUUCAUAAUUUAUGGUGAUUUUUCAAAGUGAGCCUACUGUUGUUGUCCAAAACUAUUUUAGUACAAGAUGUUUAUUACCAUGUUUAUAACACCCUUAUUUUCUUUCUCUACACUAUUUCUCAUCCCUUUCUCUUAUUUUCUCUUCACUUACAUAUUAAGAACAUAGGACCAUAUAUACAAAAAAACUUUACACUAACAUCAUUUCCAUACUUUUUCAAUAAUAUCAAACUUAAAAAUAUACUAAAAUCUUGAUGUACUUACCUUGUCAUAUUGAUUUUAAUCUUUAACUUGAUUUUCUCUCUCCUCCAGCUUCUAUUUCUUGAAUCUAACUUGAUAUUAUAGCUCCCCAUAGUCUCCUUGUAAUCUUUCUCUCUUGAUGGAUAUGGAAAUUCUUUUGAUUUCUAGAUGAAAAUAGUGAAUUUUUGGUGAAAGGACUAAAUUGUAAAGAAAGCAAAACUUUCUUUCUUCUCUUCUCCUCUUAACGUGAAUUGCAUGGAAAAGAUGGUGGGUUGGUUCCUUUUCAUCUUUCUUUCCACAUAUAUAUACUAAAUAAUAAAAUAAUAAAAUAUCAUUUAAAAAUCAAAUUAAAAUACUAAUAAACUAAUAUUUAUUUGUUUAUUUAAUCUAAAAUAUCUCCAACAUCAUCAUUAUCUUCUAGAUUUCUCUCUCUUCUAAUUGACCAUUUUGCCCUUCAUGAUAUUUUAAAAUUCCAUCCUUGAGUCAUCACUUAAUUUCGUAAAAUUUCAAUUUAGUCCCUCAAAAUUCCUCACCUUUUUUCAAUUUAGUCCUAAUACAUCCAUUUUCCUUAGUUUCUAGAUCAUUCCACCCUUAAAAUAUUUACACCAUUGGUCCUUCAAUUUUUUCAUAUUUACACUUUAACCCCUCAAUUUUUGAGUAUUUACUCUUGGGCAACAAAAUUUUUACGAUUUAAUCCUUUCUUGAGGUAAUAUGUCAUAAUAUACUUCCCAAUGUUGACAUAACUCCAAAAUUCCCUUUUUUGUCGCUUUAUUUCCUUAUUUUUUUAUAUCAAAGAUAAUAUCUUACUGUAAAAAUUUUUUUGGGGGGUAUUACAUUUCUCUCCCCCUCAAAAUAAAUUUCGUCCUCGAAAUUUCCUUAUUUUCUUUUGAUCAUGAACUUAUUUUUUCUUUAAUUCUAUAGUUCAUUUUUUUUGCAUAUAUUUACUUAGCUUAUCAUUUGUGUCUAUUCUUUAUUCUUUCAUUUCACAAUUUAUUUUUAAUUUAAUAUUUCAAACAUGAAUCAGAGAUAAACUUUUACCUUGUAACUAAAAUUAUUUACCUUUUUACCUGAGGCCCAGUGGACUAAAUAGAACACGUAGGAUAUAUGAAAUUGAUACAGAAGUGCUCUGUUAUACAUCAUUAAACAGAGAGCACUAAAGUGUUAUACGGGAGCAUAAAUGUGCUAAUAAUUGGAGAGCACUAGCGUGCUAUUAAUCAGAGAGUGCGCUAAGGUUCCUUAAUGAUAUACUACUAAUAUCCUAAUAGUUCUAAUCUCAUCUACUUGGGCAAAUUAUAUCAUGCAUGCAUACGACUUUUACACUUUGCGCAUAAUGCUUUUACAUACUUUACAAUUUAAACCUUGUACCAAUGAUUCGUAUAUUUAUACCUUCUCUACCUUUAAUACAUGUAAUAUAUUUCAAAAUUCACUAAUAAUCCAUAUAUAUCAUGUACUUCAUAUAUCAUUUUUACAUAUUAUGCAAUUUAGUCAUCAGCGCAAUAUUUCUUGUAGCAAUAUGUUUUUCUUUUAAUGACACAUAUAACAUUCAUCAUCGACAUGUAUUAUAAAACAUUUAUUCAUACUUUCAUGAGUUCCAAUUCAUCCUAAUCAAUUUUUUUUACUCAUAUACUUGAGUAUCACUUUCAACAUUAUCAGAAUUAGCUCGGUUAGGAAAACAUCUCUGUUUAUAAGUAAAACAAUUCUCAUCAGACUCGAGAGAUAUCACACUAUCACAGGUUACAUAAUGGCAUGCAUUUCUAGACUUCACAUAAGCUACGUUUGGUCCAAGAACCGACUAAAUCGUAGCUCUGAUACCAAUAAAUGUAACACUCUUAACCCGAAUCCAUUCUGACAUUGUCUCACAAAAUUUAUUAUAUCUCAUAGUUUACAAUUCUAUUACUUACACCAUUUCUUCCAUGAGAAACUAGACUCAAUAAGCUUUAAUUCUAUAUUUUAUUCAUACUCUAAUUCGAUUUUCAUAAUUUAUGGUGAUUUUUCAAAGUGAGCCUACUGUUGCUGUCCAAAACUAUUUUAGUACAAGAUGUUUAUUACCAUGUUUAUAACACCCUUAUUUUCUUUCGCUACACUAUUUCUCAUCCCUUUCUCUUAUUUUCUGUUCACUAACGUAUUAAGAACAUAGGACCAUAUAUACAAAAACUUUACAUUAACAUCAUUUCCAUACUUUUUCAAUAAUAUCAAACUUAAAAAUAUACUAAAAUCUUGAUGUACUUACCUUGUCAUAUUGAUUUCAAUCUUUAACUUGAUUUUCUCUCUCCUCCAGCUUCUAUUUCUUGAAUCUAACUUGAUAUUAUAGCUCCCCAUAGUCUCCUUGUAAUCUUUCUCUCUUGAUGGAUAUGGAAAUUCUUUUGAUUUCUAGAUGAAAAUAGUGAAUUUUUGGUGGAAGGACUAAAUUGUAAAGAAAGCAAAACUUUCUUUCUUUUCUCCUCUUAACGUGAAUUGCAUGGAAAAGAUGGUAGGUUGGUUCCUUUUCAUCUUUCUUUCCACAUAUAUAUACUAAAUAAUAAAAUAAUAAAAUAUCAUUUAAAAAUCAAAUUAAAAUACUAAUAAACUAAUAUUUAUUUAUUUAUUUAAUCUAAAAUAUCUCCAACAUCAUCAUUAUCUUCUAGAUUUCUCUCUCUUCUAAUUGACCAUUUUGCCCUUCAUGAUAUUUUAAAAUUCCAUCCUUGAGUCAUCACUUAAUUUCGUAAAAUUGCAAUUUAGUCCCUCAAAAUUCUUCACCUUUUUUCAAUUUAGUCCUAAUACAUCCAUUUUCCUUAGUUUCUAUAUCAUCCCACCCUUAAAGUAUUUACACCAUUGGUCCUUCAACUUUUUCAUAUUUACACUUUAACCCCUCAAUUUUUGAGUAUUUACUCUUGGGCAACAAAAUUUUUACGAUUUAAUCAUUUCUUGAGGUAAUAUGUCAUAAUAUACUUCCCAAUGUUGACAUAACUCCAAAAUUUCCCUUUUUGUCGCUUUAUUUCCUUAUUUUUUUAUAUCAAAGAUAAUAUCUUAGUGUAAAAAAAAAUUUUUUGGGUAUUACAGGAACAGAGUGGUGUGUAGAGGCUGGAUUGGGUAGGAUUUCUAACUGCAUAUCUACACUAAUUAAUGAUUUUGUAUUGUUACUACAUCGAUUAAUGAUAUUACAUACUGUUUACUGCAUGACUGAUAUUUGUUGCUGUUAUGGGCCAAGGCCCCACUGAUACUAUUACUGAAAUUGGGCAAAUGCCCUAUUGAUUAUUGGUAUUGUGAUGGGCUCAAGCCCAAUCGUUUAAUGUUACGGGAAAGGGCUUAGGCCCACACUGAACUGGACUGUUACUAUAACAGGCUCAGGCCCAAACUGUAUUUAUCUAUUGUUUAAUUGACUACUUACUUGUUAGGGGAUUGCACACUGAGUUUUCGUAAACUCAACCCGUUGUUUAACUGUACAGGUAAUCCCUAGUUGUAGUAGGGUCAGUGCUGCGAGGGACUCGAUGAUGGCCACACAACUGCAUCAGCUUUUGUUUUUAGCCUUUGAUUUAUAAGAAACUGAAUUUGGGUAUUUUUAUGUAAAAAGGCCUCUUUAAAGUUAUAAACUUUAAAUUGGGGUUUUUAUUUAUUUAGUUUGAUAUAAACUACUAGUUGUAGAAAAAGACGGGUUUUCAAAAGGUAAAUGUUUUCAAAGUUUCAAAAGGUAAAUGUUUUCAAAGACACCACGUUUUCGCAACAUUUCUAAAAAAAAACUUCCGCAAUGAAUGAGAUUUUGGAAAAUUUAUAACGUUUUAAAAGUGAUUAGCUUUUAAUGAUGCAUGCUUGGAAAUGAACAACCCGUUUUGGAAUCAUAGUUUAACAGCAAAAUGAUUAAUUGAUUUUAAAGAUUUCAACGACAACAAGUUUUACGCUAAACACCUUAAAGUGACACCGCCAGAUUCAACCAUAACUCCUAGGCCGGGUUUGGGGUGUUACAAUGUGUUUCAACCCUAUUAUUAGAAACUGAUACCCUAUUAUUAGAAACUGAUAAUGGAAACACAACUUUUAAUUAGAAACCUCUAAUUUUAAAAUUCAAUAGGUAAAAGCAAGUUAUCGUUAAGUGCCUGUGAUACGCUAGUAAAACUCAUUCUAGAAAAAAAAGUUUAAUGGAAACAAUUGUUAUCCAUUGCGUAUAGAGGAUGAAUUUGAAUACUAUUAAUUAAGUUCAUUGUUUAUUGUUUAAAUGUCUAAAGUAAGGGAGACAUUAAAAGAACUCUACCUUUAUAAACAUAAGAAGUGGUGCCACUUCAACAAGUAAAGGUAGGGUCUCUCUUGUAAAUGUUUAUUAUGAACAAGAUAAGCACAUGAUCAUUUUAGUGCUAAAAGUGAACAACCUCUGAUAGAAAUAUAAACGAAUAUUAUGUAUAGUGUAUUUCAACUUCUAAUACUAGGAGUUGUGGUUCAAUCUUCGGACACCGACAACUUAUUAAAACUUUGAAAAGCAUCCGCUUAUUGAUGGUUCAUAUUGAGAGGUAUCAUCUUUAAUGCAUAAUAUUUGUUUGAGUGAAUGACCAUAAAGUAUGGUACCAACAUUUAAACUAAGGGUGAUUGUUAGUAGUUUAUAAUUUUGGCAGUAAAAAUAUUUUAUUAUGUAGAAAAGUCUAAUAAAUUAUAAUUAUUGGUCAAAUAGUUGUGUUGUAAAGACAAUUUUUGUAUGUAAAGUUGUCUUAUAAACUUUAUGUAAAGUUGUGUUGUAAAACAACAAAAUUAUAUGAAAAUGUAUCUUAUUAAAAGAUACAUCCAUAUGAAAGGGUAUCUCAUGAAAAGAUACACCUAUUAGAUGUCUAUAUAAAAGAUUUUUCUGUUAGUUAUUUAAAUUGUUUUGCUUGGAGUGUUGAGGGCUUUGUUGUAUCUUGAAGGUAUUUUAAAAUCUUAAAGAAAGUGCUCUACACACCUUAAAGUCAUUAUAUUUUAUAACAUUAUUUUAUUUUUCUAACUUUUAUUUUCCUAUUAUUUAUUUUUCUAACAGCUAGAAUAUAGGAAAAUUAUUAUGUUUCUAGCUAUAUAUUGAAUACAAGUAUGUUGGUGUUUAGAACUCGAACUUUGAUGGUUGAUCGAGAGAUUUGAAGCAGAAAGAAGAGACGGGAAGUUUUAAGUAGAAAAAUAAUUGAAGACUGGAAUAUAUAAUUGAUUUGCACCUCAACUAUUUAAAUACAAAAGUUCAAGCUAAAAAUAGAAAAAAAAAGUUCUAAAAAUCUGCUAAAAAUCUGGUAACAAAAUAGCAAACAAAUCAAAAAUCUAAUCUCCUAAAGUCAAGGAGAAUUAUUCAAACUUAGUAACAGAAAAAAUUUAAAUGGCAGCAAUCUUAAACACAUGAUCUUAACACUCCUCCUUGUUUAGAUGCUACAAACUCCAAGUUUCUUCCUGAAGCUUUCAAACUUGCUAAGUGGCAAUGGUUUGGUGAAGAUAUCUGCAAUUUGAUCUUCAGAUUUGUAGUAACAAAGAGACACAUCACCACUCUUUUAAACUUCUCGAACAAAAAAUAACUUGAUGUUAAAAUGCUUAGUCUUCCCAUGAAAGACUGGAUUGUUAGAGAUUGCAAUGGCAGCCUGGUUAUCAACUAGAAUCUUUGUGCUUUGCUUCUACUCCAUGUUUAGAUCAACAAGAAUCUUCCUUAACCAGAGAGCUUGGUUAACUGUUGCUGUUGCAGCCAUAAAUUCUGCCUCAACAGUGGAUUGAGCUACAGUUUCUUGCUUCUUCGAGCUCCAAGAGAACAUGCCUGAUCCAAGGCAAAAACAAUAACCAGAGGUACUCUUCAUAUCAUCAGUUAAGCCACCCCAAUCACUGUUAGAGAAACCAAUCAACUUCAAUUCCCUAUGCUUUAAAAACUUUACUCCAUAAUUCCAGGUCCCCUUGAUGUAUCUGAUAACUCUUUUUGCAGCUCUCAUGUGAGUCUCAUUGGGACAAUGCAUGAAUCUGGAGAGAAUACUUACAGCAUUCAAGAUGUCGAGUCUGGUUGUUGUUAAGUACAUUAGACAACCUACCAAACUCCUGAACUCAGCUUCAAUGACUUUGGCAGAACCAUCAUCUUUGAUUAGCUUCUCUUUUUGAUUCAUAGGAGUACUCAUUGCUUUGCAAUCUUCCAUAUGGAAUUUUCUAAGUAUCUCCUUUGCAUACUUUCUUUGACAGAUGAACACUUCAUCUUGGCUUUAUUUGAUCUCAAUGCCAAGGAAAUAAGACAUCAGAUCAAGGUCUGUCAUUUCGAAGACAUUAUGCAUUUCCAAUUUAAACUGAUUAACUUGAUCGAUAUUGCUCCUUGUAAUCAAUAAGUACAAAUAAGCAAGCUUUUUCCUUUGAUUUCCUUAUCUUCUUUUCUUUUUGUGCUUUAAUCUGUGCCACAGUAGGAUUUGCUGGAAGAGGUGGGACCUCGUAAUCCUCUUCUACAGGUUCCCAAAGAUCCAAAGCCUCUAUGUAAGUCUCCAUGCGAACUGCCUACAUCUGGUAAUUGUCUCCAUCGAAGACUGGUGGUGCAGCAACUGAAAAACUGGACCCUCCUUCCAUAUUAACACGCAAAUAACCUAACAAAUCCCUCAAGAAAAUAGCUCUGAUACCAAUUUGUUGGUGUUUAGAACUCGAACUUUGAUGGUUGAUCGAGAGAUUUGAAGCAGAAAGAAGAGACGGGAAGUUUUAAGUAGAAAAAUAAUUGAAGACUGGAAUAUAUAAUUGAUUUGCACCUCAACUAUUUAAAUACAAAAGUUCAAGCUAAAAAUAGAAAAAAAAUGUUUUAAAAAUCUGCUAAAAAUCUGGUAACAAAAUAGCAAACAAAUAAAAAAUCUAAUCUCCUAAAAUCAAGAAGAAUUAUUCAAACUUAGUAACAGAAAAAAUUUAAAUGGCAGCAAUCUUAAACCCAUGAUCUUAACAAAGUACUACUUGGAAGCCAACACCCACAAACAUGAUAAAAGUUAAUUUUGAUGAGAGUUUUGACAUGGAAGCAAGAAAUGAGGAAGAGGGUAGUUAUGCAGCAUUGUGAUGAUUUUUUAGUCUGACUAUGCAACCAUCCAAUUUAGGGUGCAUUCUCCAUUGUGGUGAAAAAGCACUUAAAGAACAUUUGGUUUUUGCACUUAAAAUGUGAUGGAAAAAUGUUUUUCCACCCAAAUACAAAAACUAGGAUAUAAAUGUUUUUGACUUUUAGCUUUUAUGUUUGGAAGUGAAAAUUAUCAAAAUAUCAUUAUUUAUAUUAACUAUUUAAAUGGUAUAUAAAAAUUAGAUUAAUUUAUAUUUUAUAUAUCAUUAUAUUAAAUUAUUUAAAUAUUAUUUAUUAUUAUAUAUUUUAAUAAUUUAUAUAUCAUCUAUUUUACAAAUAAUUUAUAUUAAUUACUUAAAAAAUAUUUGGAACUUAUAUUUCAUGUAUCAUUAUAUUAAAUUAUUUAAAUAUCACAUAAUUUAACUAAUUUUUUACUUUCCACUAUCAUGUCUAAAGAAAAGGAUAUUUUAACUUUUAACAAGAAUUUUUUGUAGCAAUGGAGAACACCAAAAAUUAAUAAACACACUUUUUCAUAGUAAUUUUCAACCACACUUUUCAACCGCAACCCUAAUGAAGAAUUAAUCCUUACUAAAGUUACCGAAGCACUAGCUUCCACCGUAGCCAUUGAAAUGGCGCUCCAAUUGGGAUUGCAACACAUUAUUAUUAAAGGAGAUGCUCUCCAAGUGGUUUCGGAGUUGAAGGAAGACAAAGGAGACCUACCAACAACCGGACCUUGAUAGCAAAGAGUUGAAUACUUGCUAAACAGGUUCAGCAAUGUAGGUUUCAACACAGGAAGAGGCAUGCUAAUGAGGUGGCACAUCAUCUGACCAAACAGGGCCUUAAUUGUUUUCCAUCUUUUGUUCAUAUGUUUGUUUUGAAAAGGUAAAACAAAUCCUCACCUAUUGAUGUUAGAACGGUUGAAUUGCUAAAAGCAUGCUGCAUGCAUAACCAUGCUUUAGGUUAGGCUUCAAAUUAAAUAAAUUUUAAAUUAUUUUUAUUUAAAUUUAAUUAUAAAAAUAAAUUAAUAUCAAUAGAAAAUUAUAUAAAAUUUUAAGAUAUUUUAUUUUUCAAUAAUAAAACGAAUCAUUCACCAAACCUAAUUCUUCAAUUUCUUUUUAAUUAGAUCACAACUCAAGCCAAGCUAACCAAUAAACACCCAAAAUCUACCAUCAUUUUCAUUUUCAUUUUUUUUUCUUUUGUGACAAAGUAGACAGAAGAUUCGGUUUGGAUAAGCUCUACGUUAUUAAGUCAAAAGCUGAAGUAAUUUUAAUCAUAAAUUGUUUUAUUUGUCUAUAAUGCAAAACAAUGACCCAGUUAGUACAAUAAAGCUUUAACUUUGUGGAACAUUUCAGUCCAAAAAAAAAAAAAAAAAGAAUUGUGGAAAUUUUAGAGCAGUUGACCAUUUCUUCGGAAUUAGUUUUCUCACUUCUUGUCCAUAUUCCAUGUAUAUUAUUUCAAGAAAUUAGGUUUAGAAAUUUGCAUAAUUCAACCAUUGAACUAAUAAAUAUUAAACAAAAAUUGGGUGGCAAAAAAAAUCUUAUUAAAAUCAUAUACUAUUACUAAAAUUUAUGAUUAAAUUAGUGUCACGAGUUAACGGGACAUUAACAAAUUAUAUUAUUUGAGGGUAUUUUAAUCUUUUUAUUAAAAAAGAUGAUGUCUCAAAUUAACUCACAAUCUAAUCUAAUUUUUCAUUUUAAUAUUGUAAAUAUUUCAUGUUUUAUUAUUAAUUUGUUUCAAAUUAUACAUUUCAUUAUUUAUUUUAUGUUAUUUUUAAACACAUCUGUAUUCUAAGUACCUAAUUUUCACUUAUGGGUAUCAGAGGCGAAUCUAGGGAGGCUGAUAGGGGUCUCGGUCCCCUUAAAAUAGAAAAUUAUUAUUUAAGCCAUUUAGAAAAUUUUAAAAUUUUAAAUUAGUAAAUGUAAAAUUACACUUUGACCCCUCUAAAAUUAUAAAAAUUUGAUUUAAUCCUUUAAAAAUUAUAAAGAUAUAAACUAUUAAAAAUAAAAAUUUCAUUUCGGCCCUGCCUAAAAAAUUUUUUUGACUUCACCCCUAAAGUAUGAUAGAGUUUCUAGUAUGAAUAAUUUUCUUUGGAAGUGUUAAACAAACAAAGGAGUUAAGUAAACAGUAGUUUUCAUACAGAAAUAUUCGGCGUUGAUGUUUCCCUUUCGAAUAAUUAAAUUAAGACUUAGGAAAAGGGAAAACAAUGAAAAAGAAACUAAAAUUGAGCUUAAUUUAUGGAGUUGGGUUAAAAUUUUAAUAUUUAAAUAUAAAAAUUCUAAUAAUUUGAUCUGGUCCGUUUCAUCUAGCAGACUAAUAAUAAAUCUUAAAACAUAUUAUAUUUUAAUUUAAAUAAAACCAAAACUAAUACACUUGACCUACAUCUACAUGUGAUCUAUGCUUCAUUUAAAUUAGUCUAAAUUAGACGAGAUCUUGAUUAGGAGUCAUUUAUUUAUAUUAUAAGUCCCUGAAACAUGCAAAACUUACAUUUAAAAAUUAAUAUUUUUACGUUGUUGUUAGAAUAUAGGGUUUGUUAAUGUUUUCGUGUGAAGUCAGCUGUUGACAUUACCAAUCAGAUAAUGAAAAGGAAACAUGGCAAUUAUUCCAUCCUAAUUGUCACCAAAUUAAGUUAAUCCAAAAAUUACCAAACGUUUAGUACUUCAAUGGUAGAGUCAGCUCUUUCUUCUAGUCUAUCAAAAAAAGUCAAUUUAACCCCUAACUCUUGGAUGGAAAAGUUUUUGCUAUGAACUUGUUGAAGUGAAUCUCAUGUGAUAUAAACGCAUCGCAAUCUCCGUGUGUAACUAAAAAUAUUUGAGAGAUUGAAUAAUUUAAAGGGGAAAAAAAAAGAAUUUACUCCCUCCACUAACAAAUUACUCUUGCCAACGUAUGUAUGAAAGUAAACACCUUUAAUUAAUCAACAAAUGCUAAAGUUCGAGGUUUAGAAUUAAUUAAAUACCAAUAUAAAUAGUUAAUUACUUUUUUGAAAUAAGGAUAAAUCAGUUUGUGAGGUUUGAAUUUUUUGUAUCUUAACAAUUGUUCUGACUUUAGAGUUUGAAGGUUUUUUUUUUAUCCAAAUUAACCUAUGAACUUAGUAAUUUGUCUCUCAUUAAGGUUUAAAUUUUUUAUUUAUCUAAGUUAAUUCUUAAAAAUCUUGAAAUUCGAGAAUAAUUGUCAAGUUAAAAAAAUUUAGAUUUCAAUAUGAGAAUAAUCUACUAGUUCGUAACCUUAAUAUAAAAACAAUUGUUAAGUUGAAAACUUAAUUUAAAAACAAAUUCAAACCCUUCUUAAGUUUACGAUUUAACCCUUUGAAAUAUUGCGUUAACUAGUAAGAGUAAGAAUUAUUUUGUGUUGAUGAUUAAAUAAAUAUUUAAGUGGAGAUCAAGUUUUACCUCAUUUGUCAAUUGUCAGGUGAAGAAUAUAUACCCCUAAAGGCCUAUCAAAAACGGACCUAUCUCUAUCUAUAUAUCUUAACUAAUUUACUAUUCAUUUUUAAUGAAAAUCAAUAAAUCAAUGAAAACGUUAUAAAAAGAAAACUACGUGAAUAAAUUAUAUGUGUAAAAUUGAAAUAUUUCUUAUUUUAGUACAAUGGUAAGGAACAUUACAUUUUUAAGGAAAUGAUGUCAGGUUCAAACCUUAAAGAUAAUAUUCUUCUUCUUGAGAAGAACAAUCCCAAACUCCAAAAUGAACCCUUAUGAAUUAUAUAAAAAAAUUUUGAAAUAUUUCUAUAAAAUAUCAUUAAAGUUUUUUAUUUAAAAAAUGUUAUGGGUAUACUUUUACCUCUUGUAAAAAAGUCUUUCAUUUCUCAAUUCUUAUGGCAUAGUAAAUUUAUCAUUAAUUUUCAUCUUUAGGUAAAAAAAAUGGUUAUUAUUUGUGUAUUAAAUAAUUGUUAGGAUAAAUUUUAAAAUUGUAUAUGAAUUUUGGUUUAAUGUUAAUUAUAUACAUUAAUUUUAAUUUUAUGUAAUUUUAUAAAUGAAAUUUUAAUUUGAUCCAAUUCUAACAAAUUAUUAACACAGUUAUUGAUAUAACAUCAUUUUAUGUUUAUAUGCUAUAUACAGAAAUAAUUAUGUUUAUUCAAUAUAAAAAUAAAUUGAUGUAUUUAUUUCUUUAAACAUAUAUGAUUGAAUCAAAAUUAAAACAUCGUGUAUAUAUUUGAACCACAAUUAAAAUUUUACAUAUAAAAUUACAUAAAAUUACAAUUUAUAUACGUAAUAAACUAAAAUUCAUAUAUAAUUUUAAGAUUUAUGUCCACAAUUCUCUAAAGCUAAACGGUGAUGAUUACCAUGGAAAUUCAAUGUACUUAACUAAUUGGUUGAUAGGAACAGGCAUGAUGAAAUCCAUGAUGGGAAGAGAGAGAAUUCAAAAACUGGAAUGCCCCCAUUAAUCCAUGCAAAUAAACUUUUUCGGUAUUACAUCAUAAUUCAUUUAAUUUUAUCAUCAUCUCUAUGCCAUAACCAUGUUUAAAGUAAAAUACUUAUAUAAAUUGAGACAUUAAUAGUUUGUAUUAUAUAAAUUAUGACAUCCAUAUAUCCAUAUUAUAAUUUUUAUGAAAAAUUAGAGCUGGCAGAUAAAAAAUGGCUUACUGAUCAAUGAAAAAUAAACUUUAUUUCUUGUAAAUUGACUUAUCCUUUUAAAAAGUAUAAAUAUUUUUUUAAAAUUCAUUUAUGAGUAAUUUUAUUAUUAUAAAAAUUAAUUUUGCAAAGUCUAAUAUUAUUAUAUUAAUAAUUUUAUUUUAAAACUAUUUAAAAAUACUAAUAUCAAAUAUUAUAAUGUUGAAUCCUAGUAACAUACAUAUUAAAUUAUUUAAAUUAUGUAAUAUUGCAAUUUUAUUUUAAUACUAAAUUUUAACAACAAUAAUUUUAAAUUUUAGAUCAUAUUUUUAAUAUAUUAUUGAAAAAUAUUUAUAUUAAUAUUUUAAUAAUAAAUAUAUAUAUUAAAAUUUAUAAAUAUUUAAUAAUAAAUGUUUUAUAGUAUAAAAUAUGAAUAUUUUAAUUAUAUAGAUAUGAGCAUUUGUUUAAAUCAUGUUUAGUUUCAUUUAUCUCCCAACUAUAAUGUGUUAUUAUACACCGUCAUAUAUAUAAUAUAUGUAAUUUAAGCAUUGUUUAUUAUUAAAUUUAUAUAUGAUAUUAAUUAUUAUAAAAUAUUAUCUUAUUAUAAAAGAAAUUCUAAUUAUCAAAAAGAAAUGUUACUUUAAUAUUUUGUAACAAGUAUAUUUAUGUUGGGCUUGUUUCAAUAAUAACUUUAAAAUGAUUUUAGAAAAAAAAUUGUCAAAUAAUAAAAAAAUAUUUUAAGCAAAAUAAUUCAAACACAAAAAACUAUCAACUUUUCCAUAAAAUCAAUCCAAUUUUAAGAAAACAUUUUGUGAAAAUUGUUUUAGGUAAAACAAAAGGAACCUAUAUUUUAUAUAGUAUUUGAAAAGUUGUUGUAUCUAGAAUUAUUAUCUUAAAUAUUUUUUUAGGUCUAAUUUUAAAUUUCAUCCCUUUAUGAAAAUUGAGAAGUUAAAUUUUCUAUUUUACUUUAUCAGUCUGUGCUUGAUUGUUUAUUAAUUUGUCGUGUAUAAAUGGUUAAAUUAUUGAUUUUUGUUAAUUACUAGCAUGUAAAUUGUCAAACUACUUGUUCUCAAGGGAACGGUAAAGUUUAAUAGUAUUAUCAAUUUAGAACAAUUUUUGAGUUUUUUCUUUUAUUUUUCAUGUUCGAGUCCAUAAUUACUCCUUCUAAUAAUGUCGUCUUUAAAGUUUGAGUUCGAAUUCAAAUUCUCUUUUUGGAAGUACAAUAUGCCUUAUAAUUAUACCUAAUACUUUUGAUUUUUGUAAAAUAUAAGAAUCAAAAUUGUGUAGUAGGAUUAAUUUCUAGAUUUUUUAAAUUUAAAAUUUAUAAUAUUAUCAAUCGCAUCACACACAAAACCAAAGAACAAGAGAAUCUAAAAAACACGUGGACCAUUAAUUUAGGAAUGGACAUUAUAUUUUAUUAGUGGAAUAAACUCAUGCAAAAUGGUUGGAAAACACAUACAGGAUUAUAUAUACUAAUCAUUUUUAUUAUUAAGCAGAAUCGGAAAUAAAUAAAUACGAGCGAAACCACUGAAUAAUACAGCAUUGAAAUGCAAUUUGUCUACAUCAUUAUUGUUCUUCACUUCAAACGCGGAGACUAGUCUAGGCUCCCAAUCUUUUGCUUUAUCUCUCUAGAUAUAUCCUUUUCAAACUAUCUUUUUGUAGCUUUAUUUGCAUCACAGCAUUAUCUUUUCCUGCAAACAACUGUUCAAUGAUUAAAACAUGCAAAACAUUCUGAAAUAAUGCACCCUUACCAGAUGACAAAAAAAAAAAAAGAUUCUAAUGUAUCUUACCUUGGAUUGGAGCACGGUCAAAGCCGUGGCUUAGUAGUGGUGAGGAGGAGGGGGUGAAGCGUAGACAUAAUGGGGUGGUGGUGGUGGAGGAGACUUGUAUUUGUAAACUGGAGGAGGAGGUGGUGGAGACUUGUACUUGUAAGGGUGCUUGGGGGGUGAUGGUGGGGGUGGUGGGGGUGACUUGUACUUGUAGGGGUGCUUGGGUGGUGACGGUGGGGGUGGGGACUUGUACUUGUAAGGAUGCUUGGGGGGUGAUGGUGGUGGUGGUGGAGGUGACUUGUACUUGUAGGGGUGCUUGGGUGGUGACGGUGGGGGUGGGGACUUGUACUUGUAAGGGUGCUUGGGUGGUGACGGUGGUGGUGGUGGGGGGGACUUGUACUUGUAGGGAUGCUUUGGUGGGGAUGGUGGUGGUGGUGGUGGGGACUUGUACUUGUAGGGAUGCUUAGGUGGUGAUGGUGGUGGUGGUGGAGACUUGUAUUUGUAAGGAUGCUUUGGUGGUGAUGGUGGUGGAGGUGGUGGGGACUUGUACUUGUAAGGGUGCUUGGGUGGUGAUGGAGGUGGAGGUGGUGGAGACUUAUACUUGUAAACUGGAGGUGGUGGGGGUGGAGACUUGUACUUGUAAGGGUGCUUGGGUGGUGACGGAGGUGGAGGUGGUGGAGACUUAUACUUGUAAACUGGAGGUGGUGGGGGUGGAGACUUGUACUUGUAAGGGUGCUUGGGUGGUGAUGGUGGGGGUGGGGGUGGCGACUUGUACUUGUAGGGGUGUUUAGGUGGUGAUGGUGGUGGUGGUGGUGGUGGUGGGGACUUGUACUUGUAAGGAUGCUUGGGUGGUGAUGGUGGUGGAGGAGACUUGUACUUGUAAGGAUGCUUGGGUGGUGAUGGUGGUGGAGGUGGUGGAGACUUAUACUUGUAAACAGGAGUUGGUGGGGGAGGAG